This 82351-nucleotide long non-coding RNA is filed under the name Prunus persica (peach). Its description in RNAcentral is "long non-coding RNA (PPER_LNC004135)". Lineage: Eukaryota; Viridiplantae; Streptophyta; Magnoliopsida; Rosales; Rosaceae. The record is from RNAcentral.
UAGUGCAAGCUUAUAACCUAAUGGCUCAUGUCUUCCUUCUCUUCCUCUUAUUCUCUUACAUUAUAUCUACACAUAUUCAUGCCUGCAAACAAACUGAACGCAGCUCCCUCCUGUCCUUCGCCUCCACUUUAUCUUCUUCUCCUUUAAAUUGGACAUCCAUUGAUUGUUGUCGUUGGAAGGGAAUCACUUGUGAUCAAGAUGGUUGGGUCACCCAUUUGCUCUUGCCUUCCGAAGGGCUCAAAGGAGGUAUCUCUCCCUUUGCACUUGUAAAUCUCACCCACUUGAACCUUUCCCACAAUUCACUAUAUGGUUCACUUGAAACUCAGUUCUUCUUGUCUUUGAAUCAACUUGAGAUCCUAGAUUUGAGCUAUAACCGUCUUUCUGGAGAGUUACCACUUUCCCUACCAUCCAGCAGUAUCCGGACAGUUGAUUUGUCCAGCAAUCACUUCUAUGGUGCAAUUCCAUCUUCAUUCUUCCAACAAGCAAGCAACUUGACUAGUUUCAAUGUCAACAACAAUACCUUCACAGGGUAUGUCCCAUCCUCUAUUUGUCUCCAUUAUUCUCCCUCCCUAAGGCUACUGGAUUUUUCUUCCAAUUUAUUUAAUGGCUACCUUGCUCCUGGGUUAGGGAAGUGUUCUGAAUUGCAGGUUUUUCGUGCCAGUCACAAUAACCUCUCAGGAUUACUUCCAGAAGAUAUCUAUAAUGCUACUAAACUUGAAGAAAUUGCAUUGCCUUUCAAUUCACUACAUGGAGCCAUUAGUGAUAAAAUUGUCAACCUCACCAACCUUGCCAUCCUUGACCUCUCCUUUAAUCAUUUUGGGGGCGAGCUUCCUCUCAAUUUGGGGAAGCUCUCCAAGUUGAAGUUUGUGACCUUUGAUUUCAACAAUUUAGAAGGUGCUUUGCCUCCAUCUUUGAUGAAUUGCACAAACCUUGUAGAACUGCGUUUGGGGAACAACAACUUGGAAGGAGAUAUCUCCAUGCUUGAUUUCUCAAGACUGAGUCAACUUACUAAACUUGACCUAAGGCUCAAUAACUUCACUGGUACAAUUCCAGUAAGCCUUUACUCAUGUAGGUCCUUAAAAGCCAUUCGGUUCGCUAAAAACCAUCUAGAGGGACAAAUACAAGCUGAAAUUCUUUCAUUGAAAUCCUUGUCCUUCCUCUCGCUUGGUGGCAACCGAUUCACCAACCUCACAUGGGCAGUGAAGAUAUUGAUGAGUUUCAAAAGUCUUCACACACUCUCGCUUGCUGGUUGCUAUGAAGGUGAGGGAAUGCCAUCAGAUGAUGACAUGGUUGAUUUUGAUGGAUUCCAAAAUCUUCGGCUAUUGAAUUUGGCUGGUUCCGACCUCAAUGGUCAAAUACCUUUAUGGUUAUCAAAGCUCAAGAAUCUAGAGCUGUUGGAACUGGGUUUCAAUCAAAUCACUGGGCCAAUUCCAAGUUGGUUGGGGACUCUUCCUAGGCUGUUUUAUAUAAACUUGUCAAACAAUCGAAUUUCAGGUGAAUUUCCAAAGACACUUUGUAGACUACCAAGGUUGCUUUAUGGACCUAAUAUUGCAUCUCAAGCAGACCAAUAUGAAUUUGAAUUGCCUAUCUACGGCCGCAGCAGCAGCAUAAUCACAACUCAAACUUUUCCAACACAUAUAUUGGAUUUUUUUGCACCAACGAUAGUCUUAUCUAAGAAUAACAUUGUUGGUGAUAUACCUACUGAGAUCGGCCAAUUACAGCUUCUCCAGGAGUUGGAUCUUGACUCUAACAACUUCUCUGGCGUCAUUCCAGACCAACUAUCGAACUUGAAAAAUUUGGAGGUUUUGAACCUCUCCAUGAAUCUCUUGUCUGGAAUAAUCCCAUCGUCAUUGGCGAGCCUUAAUUUCUUAAAAGAAUUUAAUGUCUCAUACAAUAACCUCGAAGGAUCAAUACCAACAGGCACCCAGCUCCAAAGCUUCGAAGCUUCUGCGUUUGAGGGGAACCCAAAACUUUGUGGUGCGCCACUUCUAAAUAAGUGCGAACCAAAUAAGGGCAUUGAUGCAGAUAACAAGAACAACAAAGACGUGCACAACUGGCUCCAUCAACUUCCAUGGUUUUAUAUAUUUGCAGCAUUGGGGUUUAUAGUAGGAUUUUGGGGAGUUUGUGGUUUUUUAGUUAUUAACAAGACAUGGAGAUAUGCGUAUUUUUGAUUCAUAGACAAUCUACAAGAUAUGCUCCUCUAUGUGAUGAUAAUAGUCCCUCUCAAUAGGAUGAAAAGAAGGCUUAGAGGCUAGAUAUAUAUUAUUAAUGUUGUACUUAUAAUUUUGCAUUUUCAGUUUGCUUUCCCUUUUUUGUUUCUUUUUUUUUUUGGUGUGUGUGUUCUUCUUCAUUUCUUGUCAUGACAGAUUCACCUGCAAAAAUUUCCACAUAAAAACGCUGCAUUGUCAACAAAUGGACCUCUUCCAUAAAGUGAGAGGACCGUCACCCACACUGCAUCACCCUAGACUAUCUAUCCUUUUUAUUUCAUUGCUUAGAUUCUAUUUCCCGAAGUGCUAGGAAAUGGUUAUCCUUUUCUCUCGGCAUGCUUGCCAUGUGGCAUCAUCCAGAAUCAUGUAUAAGUAUCUAAUAGCUGGUACAGAGAGGGGCCACGAAUGCCUUUCCUUUAAUUGCUUCUUUGUUUUCCUUUUCUGAAUCUGCGAACCUAUCAUGAAGCCCUGAAAGAAAACAAAUGCAAAUAACUACCCAGAAUUUAAAAUCAACCAUACAUUUAAAAAGAAUGAAGAAGAAGAAAACUCUCUCUCUCAAAAACCAAAGACUUAAAAUCGAAAUGAAAAUUCAUGACUUAUAGCCAGUGUCGACAAAAUAAAGCAGAUUGAGGAGCUUUGGGGCUGGGAGAGCGUGCUAAUUCUUCUCCACUCAUUUCUCCUCUUCUCUUCUUCAAAUUCUUCUGUGCAAGAAGUUAAGAACUGAGAAAGAUCACGACCUGUUUUUGGUCCGAAACUGAAAUGGGUCGGAUCAUAUUAAACUCGGCCAAAACCCAAUACCUUAUGGCGCUCCAAUCAAGUGAGAAUACUAUAUAAGGAUCAAUCUCAACCUUCCAAUAUCAUUUGAAUGGCUGAAGAGAAAUUGCAAGCUUACCGUAGAAAUGGGUACGCUGCACUUACCUCUUAGACCACGUGUCCUGGCUCUCCUUUUCCAAUAGGGCUUCUUCCUUCCUUCCUCUGUUGAAACGAGAAAUUAUAAAGUGAUACUGUAUCACCACGUCAGCUGGUGAUACUCCCAUUCAAAAUCUGUCACAUGUAUUUUUUAAAAAAAAUUAAAAUAUAUUUUACAACUCAACUUUGGCUUACAACUUUACCCUUCAACUUUAAUGACCCUAACCCUUCCCCACUCCGGCUUCCCUGUGCUAUGCCCCUGCUAUCGACGCCACACAACCCUCUUCCCUUCCCCCUCUCCGCCAACCACCCCGGCCUUCCCUACCCCCACAAUAUUCCCACCCCCUCUCUCUUCCUCUCAUUUUCGGUUAAUAAAAAAAGCCAAAAAUCUUAAAAAUAUGUGCAAACCCAUUAAACAUGAAACCAUAAACCUUAAAUAAAUAAAAACCACUAGUGAAAGAAGGGAAGAUUGACGUUAUGGGCAACCAAGAAUUAAUUGUGUUAUAGAGCAAGUCAUUGGGGCGGGGCUUGAUGAAGGAAAUCCGCCAAAAAUCUCCCCAUUCUACAUCAGAUUCUUCUUCUUCCUCACCAUCUUCAUUAUCAGCUUUCAUUCAAGGUCUUUUUAAGAGUAAGAAGUGAAAUUUUCAGAGAUUACCCAUCUUCUUUAGCUUCAAGGGUAUCUCCAAAGAUAAAAUGGUAGAGUUUGACUAGAUUUUGUUUAUGGGUUUUGAGUCAUCUGACAAUAGAAGUUCUCUAGAUUCAUUAACUAUGAAGACAGUGAAGGCUGGGGUAGGUGGUGAGAGAGAAGGGAAGACGUGUGGUGUUGCAAAUAGCAAGCAUAGCGUAGGGAAGAAGACGGUGGAUAGGGAAGACGGUGGGGAGGGGUUUGGGUGAUUAAAGUUGAAGGGUAAAGUUGGAAGCCAAAGUCCAGUUGUAAAAUAUAUUUUAUUUAUUUUAAAAAAAAUACACAUGGCAGAUUUUGAGUGGGAGUAUCACCAGCUGACGUGGUGAUACAGUAUCACUCUAUAAUUUCUCCAGAGAAACCCCAAAAUCUUUCUUCCUCCUAUUAAUUUCCACCCCAAAAUCUUACAACCCAGAAACUACCACAUUCUUCUCCCCUUCAUCUUCCUUCUUAUCUUCACCUUCUUCACUCCAACCUAUCAAAAUGUUUCAGUCUCUAGCCAAUACCACUCUCUCCAAAUCGAGGGUCUCAGCCCUCAUCCAAUGGUCCAGAGUCAAUUCUUCUUCCAAACUCAACUGGAUUUGUGUCAAGUCACCCCUUCCUCACACCACGACAACUUCAUCAGCUACAAGUUCCUCUCCUCCAGCCCUACUCAGAAAUCUGGGUUGGACUCCAUUUCCCUCCCCUUGGUCAACCUCCUAUCCAACUACGCCUUUUUGGAUCUUCCACUGGACCGAGUGAAACGUAAAGUUUAGCUCUUCCCAACAAUUUACUUUAUUUUUUUUUCUAUGCAUUGUUUAUGUUGUGACUUAGAGUGCAUUAGGUUGAAAUUUCUCAAAUUUUCGAUAGCUCUGAACAAGUUGUCGAGUUUUGUGAUUAAGAUUGGGCUCUUUCUGUUGACUAACUCCAUGUUUCACCUAAAUUUCGUCUCUUUGAAAAUUCAAACCCUACAAGAAGCUGAGAAAUUGCAAUUGAACUGAGAUCUUUUUGAGAUGGGUAAUAUAUUGAGAGAUUCACCAAUAUACCCAAAAUAGGGGCUGAAAUUAUAUAUAAAAAAACCCCCCAAGAAAUGUACCGUAGAAACACACCCAAAAUCCAUUUACUACAUAUGAAAUGAGUGUUGAAGUUCCUAUAAAUUACAUGUUUGCCAUUGAUCAACUUAAAACAAGCUCAACACAAAAAAAUAAAAAUAAAAACCCAAAACAAGCCCAGCAAGCCUGAAGUACAUUGUUAAUAUCAUAUCAUAGAAGUACAUUAAUAAUACUAUGUCAUAGAAGUACAUUGUUAAUACCAUUUCAUAUAUAAAAAAAGGGAGAUUCACUAUUAUACCCAAUAUAGGAGCCCAAAUUAUAAAAAAAUCCUAUAUGAAAUGAACUUUAGAAACACACCCAGAGCCUAUUUACAACAUAACGAAAAGGCUUUUAACUUCUUUUAAAUUACAAAAUUGUCAUUGAUUUCUUAAAACAAACCAAACCCCAAAAUCUCAUAAAAAAAGCCCAAAACACUCAAUAAGCCAUCUUUAAAAAUCAAAAUUAAAUUCAAUAGGUCCAGCUGUCAUUUUUGGGUUUUUUUUUGUAUGUUUAUAAAAAUUAAAUGGUGUAGGGUUUACUUAUAGUUUUAGUGCUAAAAAUGGGUAUAUGACUAAAUAUCUCAACAACAAAAAAACUCAAUAAAACCCCUAAAAAAAAGCCCAGCAAGACAUCCAAUAUCCUUUGCAAAGACUACCUCCAAUUGUUCACAGUUUCACCAAAAACAAUCACAAAGGCAAAAGGAAAUACCUCUAUAAGAAAAAUAAAGAAAAAAAAGAAAAGAAAGUAUACUGUUAAUACUAGGGGUGGCAAUUUUCGAUACGACCCGUUACAUGACUCGAAACCCGCACGAAAAAAACACGACACAAACCCGCACGAUUAAAAAAUGGGUCAUUUUUGGGUCAACCCACUGCUGACCCGUUUAUAAACGAGUGGAUUUCGGGUCAACCCACCAACCCGCGAAAAUACCUGUUUAACCCGUUUAUUAAACGGGUUGUAUCACGGGUCAUGUCAACCGGUGUAAUACCUGUCAACCCGUGAAAAAAUGAAAGAAAAUUAACACUCCAAGACGCACUUGUGUUGUCAGCAUGCAGUGGAGUAGGAUGAAGUGGACUGAACCCAAGCUCUGUGAGGAGACCACGCAGCCAAAUGAUCUCGGAGCACGCAGCAGACAUGGCGCGAUACUCUGCCUCAGUGGAUGAUUUGGAGACGUGGUCUUGCUUCUUGCAUUUCCAAGAGAUAAGGGCAUCACCAAGAAACAUACACCAGCCAGUAGUAGAUCUCCUGGUGUCUGGGCAACCGGCCCAAUCAGCGUCACUAUAAGCCUGAAGCUGAAGAGAAGAACCUGUAGGGAAGAACAAGCCACGAUUAGGUGUGCCAAGAAUAUAGCGAAUGAUGCGGCGAACGGCAGAGAGAUGGUGAUGCCUCGGGGCUUGCAUGAACUUGCUGACAGUGUGAACAGCAUAAGAGAUGUCUGGUUGGGUGAUGGUUAGAUAGAUAAGACUACCAACCAGCUUCCGAUAGGUAGUAGGAUCCUCAAUGAAGCCUGAAUGUUUCUACUCGUUUAUAAACCAUCUCUUAGUGCUGUUCAAUUUGAUUGCAAUUCUUGCAGACUUGGCAAAAGUAAGACUCUGCCAUUUCCUAUUCACACACCCCAUGUAGUCCAACCUUUUGAUUUGAUACAUAGUGAUGUGUGGGGUAUGGCACCAGUCACUUCUCAUGCUAAUUACAAAUACUUCGUCACUUUUAUUGACGACUAUAGCCGUUUCACAUGGAUAUAUUUUCUACAUUCUAAAGAUGAAGUCUUUUCUGUUUUUAAGAUUUUUCAUGCAUAUAUUCAGACCCAAUUUUCGGCCCAUAUCAAAUUCCUUCGUUCUGACAAUGGGGGUGAGUAUAUGUCUCAUUUGUUUCAGGACUUCCUACAGACUCAUGGCAUCAUCUCUCAACGGUCUUGCCCUUCAACACCUCAACAAAAUGGGGUGGCUGAAAGGAAGAACGGUCACCUUCUUGAUGUUGUUCGCACUCUCCUGUUAGAGUCAUCUACGCCCUCUCGUUUUUGGUGUGAAGCUCUCUCCACUGCUGUCCAUCUCAUCAACAGGUUGCCUUCUCCCAUAUUGCACCACAACUCUCCUUUCACCAAGUUAUUUGGUCGCCCUCCAUCUUAUUCCAACCUUCAUACAUUUGGUUGUGUCUGUUAUGUUCAUCUUCCUGCACAUGAACGCACAAAACUCACGGCUCAAUCGAUCCAGUGUGCUUUCCUAGGAUAUUCAGUCCACCAGAAAGGUUUUCUUUGCUACGAUCCAAAUUUGCGACGCAUUCGAGUUUCUAGAAAUGUCAUCUUUCUAGAAAAUCAGUAUUUUUUUUCCCACGCAUCAGGACCCCGUUUCUCCUUCAUUUUCUGUUUUGCCUAUGUUUACUAACUCUUCUGCAGCUCCUGUUUUAAAUAUCUCUUCUCCAGCUCCAGUCCCUUCUUAGCCUCUCUUAGUGUAUCAACGACGCUCCUCCGCCACUUCCCAUCAACCUCCAGCACCUCCCCAGCCCCCUCCAGCUCCUUCCCCGACCGCUGCUCCUGUUCCAGCAACUGCACCUCCCCCCCUCAGACAGAGUACUCGGGUUCAUAGACCACCAGAUAGGUUUGGUUCCUCUCCUCUUUCCCUCUUCACUGCCACCUUGUCUUCUAUUUCUCUUCCUUCGUCUUAUACACAGGCCAUGAAGCAUGAGUGUUGGCGGACAGCGGUUGAAACUGAGCUUCUCGCACUUGAGGAAAACCAAACUUGGGACGUUGUUCCAUGUCCCUCUUCCGUGAAACCCCUUGGCAGUAAGUUCGUGUUUUCUGUCAAGCUUCGUUUUGAUGGGUUCAUAGACCGUUAUAAGGCUCGGUUAGUGGCACUUGCAUAGAGGUAGAACUGAUGUGAAAAUUAGAGUGUGGAAACACAACAUUUUCAUGUGAUGUUUCUUGGUUUGAAGAAGGAGCAAGGGAUAAAUUCAAAUAUGUGGAGGCUUCAGGAAUUGAAAGGAACUCCAUUUUUGAUUGAUUUUUGCUUAUGUUUUCUUUCUAGUUUGCUUUUGUUUUCAGAUUGAAGGAUGUUCUGGUUUAAAUGGUAAGGAAAGAAUCAGACAGAGUCCUUAAAUAACAAAAGCAUGUUGGGAUUUCAUCCCUUGUUUCCAACACCCAUGUUUUUUGAAUUUCCACCUCAAGCUACACACCCAUGUUUUCUAGUUUUCCACAUCGACUCACUUAAUCAUAAAAAAAGAAAGAAAAAAAGAAGAAGAAGAAAGAGGCUAAUAAUAAUUUUCUUUUUUUCUCCAUUCUUUCUUAAAGUUGAAAAAUAAAAGAAUUUCAAGAAGAAAAAAAAUGUGUCCGGUCGCAAUUGAAAUGUUAAAGAAUAAAUAAAUAAUAUAUAUAUAUAUAAAGACAUGUGAAAUUUUACCUUUUUUUAAAAACAGCUUGUAGAAACGUUAUAAAUAUCCAAUUGUGUAGCUUAAAAUCAUAAAGUUGUGUGUAGCAAGAUGGAUAAGGUGUUAGAGAUGAAUUCGAAACUCAUUGUUUGUGUUUUGGAGGGUUAAUUUUCUUUCAUUUUUUAGCGGGUUGACACGACCCGUUUAAUAAACAGGUAUUUUAGCAGGUUGGCGAGUUGACCCAAAACCCACCUGUUUAAUAAACGGGUUAGCUGCAAGUUGCUCGAAAAUGACUCAUUUUUUAAUCGUAUAAGUUCGUGUCGUGUUUUUUCUAUGCGGGUUUCGAGUCGUGUAAGGGUCGUAUCGGAAAUUGCCACCCCUACAUAUAGUUUUAUCAAUUAAAAAAAAAGCCACCAAAAGCACUUGUGAAGCAAACAAAGUCAAGGUAGGUGCCCAUAACAAAACACAUCACAUGCCAUCAAAUUCAGGGUUAAUUUUCUUUCAUUUUUUAGCGGGUUGACAGGUAUUACACGGGUUGACAAGACAUGUUUAAUAAACGAGUUAAACAGGUAUUUUAGCAGGUUGGCGAGUUGACCCGAAACCCACCCGUUUAUAAAUGGGCAUGCAGCAGAUUGACUCGAAAAUGACCCAUUUUUUAAUCGUGCGGGUUCGUGUUUUUUCCAUGCAGGUUUCGCGUCAUGUAACAUGUCGUAUCGGAAAUUGCCACCCCUACAUAUAGUUUUAGCAAGCCACCGAAAGCACUUGUGAAGCAAACAAAGUCAAGGUAGGUGCGCAUAAAAAAACACAUCACAUGCCAUCAAAUUUAAGCCAAUUCCAACACAAUAGAGUCGCCAUGAAUUUACUCCGGGUGUGUCAUUUUUAUGCCUUUCGUCUUUUGCUUGAUAUACCAUUUUUCUGAAGUUCAUCUGUUUGGUCAUGUAGUUGACAGAUGGUAGUGUCUUGUGAAUGAAGAGCGAAGAAUGAGAUUUGCUACGAAGGUUCUGCUUCUCCUGCAGUGUAACAUAAAUAGGAUGUCAACGCAUGUAAUGUUAAGAUGAGGCUUGACCAGCACUGGAACUCUCAAACCAUGUCUGGCAUGCACGCCGUAUUAAAUUACACCAUAUAUCUUCCAAGUUUCCAAGAAAAAUGAUCAACACAUGCCGCUUCACUAGAUUUGUUGGUUUUGUGAUACAACUAAACAUCAGCAGGUCUUGGUUCUGCAUCACCGCUUCACAAAAUUUAAUUCAAAGUGCUGGUUUAUUCACGUUUCAGUUGGUCAGUUUAUUCAAAGUACCAGGCUAUGAUUAUAUUGUUCAUCUAUAUUAGCCGCCAAGUAUGGGAUUACAAAUCUUGGUGAUUGGCAUUAUGGUUGGUAGUUCUCCAGAAAAGAAAAACUCCCAACUCCUUCCGAGGCCUUUAGUCUUUAAAAUCGGACCCGUAAUAACUCAAUAUCAUGGUUAUAGUGGUCUUGAUGUAUAUAGCAUGGUUUUGAUCACUUCUACAUACUAAAUUUUAGACAGAUAAAUAUCUUCGGCGUUUCAAUAAGUACUUGCAAUGGUAUCAUAUACAUCAAUUAUUAAUGUUGCCUGAAAUUUACAUAACCAACUACGGUAUAAAAGAUAUGAUCACUCUCUAAUGUAGUUCACAUUGCUUGUAUUAAUUGAUCGAUGCUUGAUGCAUUUGUUUGUGUCUCUAAUGAAGAUCUGCUCAGUUUCAACUAGGUGCUAUUAUGCAUUUGGGGCACUUGUAUCUGAAGAGACUUAGUACUUGGGCUUUUGGUUCUUUUUAAAAAAAAAAAAAUUUAUAUCAAAUUAUUCCAGAAUUGUGCCUAGAGUCCGGUGGGUACUUCCUGAUUCUACUCUUUUUUUUUUCCUGGGAAAUGAUAGUGUGGGGCUAAUUAGCUAACUGGAGUUAUGAUUUGGAAUAAGGCCUCAGCUAUUUUGAGGAUCUCUUAGUUGGGUCAGGUCUCUAAAGCCUGUUUGAUUUGUAUUUCUAAUUCUGUGUAGUUGCUUCUGGGGUGCAUUGCCCUCCCAACCCCAGUUCACAAAGAAAAAAUAUAUAUACAUGGAUACAUUUUUGCCUAACAGACAAAAGCUCAUUUUUAUUUUGUCGGUCAAAAUAAUUAAAGUUUAUUUUAGUAACAUAUAGAUCAUGAGUGAGGGUUUAAAGUAUCAAUUACCAUUUAUCAUUGGAUUAAUUCAAAAUUUAAGAAGCUCAUAUAUCCUCAUUUUUAUGUCCUUAAGUGAGCGGGAAUGUUGUUACAGUAUAUUCAUAUAAAUGUGCAUAUAGAAUAGAUACUCCCUAACAUUGUUGGUGAGGCCUCUCCAUCAUAAACGACACAGGAUGUGAUGAUGUAUUUUUCGUGAGCAACAAGUUGGAAAAGAAGUUGCCGCUAAGAAGUCUUGGAGUCAGAGGCUAUCCAUAAAAGGAAGGAUUAAUUUGCCUGCUUGCUUUGUCUCCACGACAUCCUAUUAGCCAAUGCCAUUCAUCUGUGAACGCGAUGAAGCGAAUAUAUGGACAAUAGAAAAAGCCAAUUUGGCAACUAUAUAUAAGAAAAUCAAAAAAUUAGAUGCAAGCGGUUAUUGAUAACUGAUUACUUACUUUCGAUGGAUAUUGUAUUGAAACAAUAUUUGUAAUUAACGAGUCUGGAAACAAAAACAUUAGUUUGUUACUAAUCAUGGACGUAACAAAGUAUUGAUGUUCCUAAUCAUGUUUGAUCACCAAAGACUACUGCCUUCUUAAUGUCCGGGAUUGACCAAGUGGUGAGCGAAGAUGGAGAAAAUUGUUUAGGAUUGGAAUAGGUCAAAUUUUCGGUCCCUUAAUAUAGUCAAAAAUACAAUUCAUGAAGCCAAUAGAGUCUAGUCUAAUGGAAAAUGGCUUUGAUUUGUAAAUCAGUGGUCUUAAUUUCGAAUUCUCAUGUCACCUUGGCAGUAUGUGUAUGUGAGAAAACCCUCUCCCCAAUAACGUUUGUAUAUAUAAAACAAAAGAACAAAAAACAACAAGAAAGAUGCAAUUCAUGAAUAUAUCAGCUCCCACCCUAUAAAACAAAGGAAAGUGUUACAAACUUACAAAAAACUUGGGCCAAAAUCUUCUCAAAGUUCUAAUAUAAUUAAAAACAGGUUUUUGGCAGAUUGGACAGUUCAAGAAGAUAGGCACAAAACAUCUUAUGUAUACCAUACGGUCACUACGGAUCAUGGAAUUUUAUGCCUUCAGGCUUAAAAAAAGUAAUCACAUCAGAUAGGAUUUAUACAUGAAAAAGAUUUAUGCUUGUCCUCUACAAAUUGCCUCAUUUAUAUUAAUUGUAUUUUGAUAUCAUCAGUGACAUAAAACAUAAGAGCAAAAGAAUAUUGAACUUUUGGGAAUGUCCUUCAAUGAGGGAAAGGUAAUUCACCACACCAUAUGAAAUUCCUUGGUGAACUCUCAUGAAUUAAACAAAUCCAGCACUUCUGCUAAAAUAUGAAUAUGGUUUGAAUAUUUUAGGUUAAAUUUAUUUUUCUCCAUAAGGAGAUAUGUAUAAGAGUUUACAUGUGGGCUUUAUAAGGAAUUAGAUACAGUAAAGAAUUAGAAAAGUAUCUCCUAAUUGUACAAUGAUUUAUCAAUUAUAUAAAAAAUUGGAAAGUAAAUCCCUUAAUUAAUCAAGGAAAUAAAUCUCCUUGAUUAAUUAGGAGACUCACGUCAACACUCCUCCUCAAGUGGUGCAUAUAUGUCACCAAUACCCAACUUGGUAAGUGAGUCAUGAAAUACUCUGCCACAAACAGCUUUAUUAAGAUAUCUGCCAGUUGAUCUUCUGAUUUUACGAAUGGUAGGUGGAUGAUCUUCUUCUCAAUCUUCUCUUUGGUAAAAUGUCUAUCCACUUCAACAUGUUUGGUUCGAUCGUGUUGAACUGGAUUAUGGGCAAUGUCAAUGGCUGAUUUGUUAUCACAAUGUAAUUCCACUGGUUUUCCUGGCUUGAAACCCAAUUCUGUCAAUAGUCUUCUUAUCCACAGUAGUUCACAAACUCCGUAAGUCAUUCCUCGAUACUAUGCUUCUGCACUAGACUAAGAAACCACAUUUUAUUUUUUUACUCCGCCAAGUGACUAGAUUACCUCCUACGAAGGUAAAAUAACCUGAAGUAGAGCGUCUAUCAGUAAUGGAGCCAGCCCAAUCAGCAUCUAUAUAUCCAACAACUUCGAGAUCUCUAUUUUUUUAGAAUAUUAAUCCUUUCCCAUGUGCUGACUUUAAGUAUCUCAAGAUUCGAUCAACUGCAUUCCUAUGAGACACUUUGGAUGCAUAAACUGACUAACUACACUCACAGCAUAUGCAAUAUCUAGUCUUGAGGACGUAUGAAAAGUAGAACCUUUAGUGGUGGUGAUAGAAGCAGGAGUUCGGGUAGCCAGGUCAGCAGGAGUGACCGCAUGCUUCUGCGAGUUUGCAAUAAGAUGGAGAAUCGUAGGGGUUCCUGACAAGCAACGAAAGUAAGAUAUGAUAUGAGAAGGUGAGGAAUUUGAUGUAGGAAUUGGAUUUAAGAGGUAUGUGUAUAAGAUUUGAGGGUAUGUGUUUAGGGAUUUGGAUAAGAGGAUUUGAGGACUUUAGAUUUGAUGGAUUUGGAUUUGGGGAAAAUUAUGAGGAAUUUGAUUUAGAGUUUUGGAUUUGAAUAUGAGAAAUUUGAGAUAAGGGUUUAGAGACAAAACAACUUCUCUUUACUCCCCCUCUCCCCCUAAAGAGAAGGGGUCGUCAGAGUAAAGAAAUAUGCAGUAUCUUCAUGGGAAUAUGUCAAGGUAAUGGGGAUAUGUCAAUAAACAUAUCAUUUUCACUCCCCCUCCCCCCUUUGAGGAGAAGGAGAUGAGAGCACUUAAAUUUCAAGAAGAACGCAAGCACAGGUCACAGGAGAACCUGGCUCUGAUACCAUGUUAAAAUAUUAAUAUGGUUUGAAUAUUUUAGGUUAAAUUUAUUCUUCUCCAUAAGGAUAUAUAUAUAUAUAUAUAAGUUUAUAUGUGGGCUUUAUAAGGAAUUAGAUACAGUAAAGAAUUAUGAAAGUAUCUCCUAAUUGUACAAUGAUUUAUUAAUUAUAUAAAAAAUAGGAAAGUAAAUCCCUUAAUUAAUCAAGGAAAUAAAUCUCUUUGAUUAAUUAGGAAACUCACGUCAACAAGUUCUACAUUUAAUUAAUUAUGGCCCUUUGUUCCUAAAGAUGGACAAUUUGAUAAUGUAAACAAAUGCUUCAAGCAUAUUUCCUAUGCAACUAUAUAUUUUAACAGAAGUUUGUGCUUUAAAUUAGGCACCUUCUUUGUAAUUAACAAUAAAUUAUAUAACAAAGUUGGAGUACGGUCACGUAGUAAUGGUGGAGCUACAUAUAGGCUACCCUCGACUGUAGCCCAGUGCAACCUUGGUCAAAAAUACUUCUUAUAGCACUUAAUUUCAAGAUUUUGACAUUUAUCCCACCCAGCCAACUCCCAUAUGUGCAAAUUCUUCACUUUUAUGGCUGGGUAGUUAAGAAAAGUUGUAGUUUUCUAGUUUUAUAUCAUGUUAAUUGAAUCGUUCAAGUUCAAAAAAAAUAAAAUUUAGUUGUUCUUGGUUUGACUUAAUUUUGUUUUAUCAUUUAACAAAAUAUUAGCCUACCCUUUUGAAAAUUUUAGUUCUACUCUUGCACGUAAUAAGUGUUAUAAUAUGGAUGGACUAAGUUGAUAUUUUUCCAUUUUAAGUAAUAUAUAGCAGUGGUGCAAGAACGCAGCCCAAGAGAUUGACAAAAUAAACAGAACAAGGUGGUUGGGGCUCAUUUAAUUGCUAUCAAUAUAUUUACCAAGAAACGUUAUUAAGUAGGGGCUCAUUUAAUAACAUGAAUAGGACGUUAUUAAUGUUGGAUCAGGCUUGACUGGCACUGUCACUUUCAGGCAAGAAAAAUCACACCAUAUAUCUUCCAAAUUCCAUGAAAAAUUGUCAUCAUAAUGAAAGAAAACACCAAUGAGGGAAAGCACACGUCAAACGUUUGCAUCCAAAUCUGAAAACGCAUUAAAUCCGUGAGAUUUUUUAUUAGUUAUCAGCUGGAAGAUGAGCUGGUAUUAGUUAUCAGCUGACUUAAAAAUAAAAGGAAAUAGUCAAAACAUAUAUGAUAUAUCAGGGCAACAGCUUUUGAGUACUUCAGUCCUGUUCUGGUGGCCCAAAGGUUUCAAUAUCAAUAAUUUGCAUUCAGUGGUUGUUGUUUCCCGACUUCUCAAUUUGCAUUGUGUGGUGGUGGUUUGCAUCGUUUUCAAACAUGGUUGUUCAUAUAUAUAUAAGUACAUGUGAGCAACGGCACAUACACAAAGCAACAUGCUAGUGCAAGUUUAUAACCUAAUGGCUCAUGGCUUCCUUCUCUUCCUCUUACUCUCUUGCAUUAUAUCCACAAAUAUUCAUGCCUGCAAGCAAACUGAACGCAGCUCCCUCCUGUCUUUUGCCUCCACUCUAUCUUCGCCUCCUUUAAAUUGGACAUGUCUUGAUUGCUGUCGUUGGAAGGGCAUCACUUGUGAUCAAGAUGGUUGGGUCACCCGUUUGCACUUACCUUCCAAAGGGCUCCAAGGAGGUAUCUCUCCCUUUUCACUUGCAAAUCUCACCCAUCUCACCCACUUGAACCUUUCCCACAAUUCACUAUAUGGUUCACUUGAAACUCAAUUCUUCUUGUCUUUGAAUCAACUUGAGAUCCUUGAUUUGAGCUAUAACCGUCUUUUUGGAGAACUACCACUUUCUCUUCCAUCUAUUUAUAUACGGACAGUUGAUUUGUCCAGCAAUCACUUCGUUGGUGCAAUUCCAUCUUCAUUCUUCCAACAAGCAAGCAACUUGACUAGUUUCAAUGUCAGCAACAAUAGCUUCACAGGGUAUGUCCCAUCCUCUAUUUGUCAACAACAUUCUUCUCCCUUCCUUAGGCUGUUGGAUUUUUCUUCCAAUGUAUUCAGUGGCAACCUUGCUCCUGGGCUAGGGAAGUGUUCCAAACUACAGGUUUUUCGUGCCGGUCACAAUAACCUCUCAGGAUUAUUUCCAGAAGAUAUUUAUAAUGCUACCGAACUUGAAGAAAUUGCAUUACCUCUCAAUUCACUACAUGGAGCCAUUAGUGAUAAAAUUGUCAACCUCACUAACCUCGCAACCCUUGAUCUCUACUAUAAUCAUUUUGGUGGUGAGCUUCCUCUCAAUUUGGGGAAGCUAUCUAAGUUGAAGUUUGUGACCUUUGAUUUCAACAAUUUAGAAGGUGCUUUGCCCCCAUCUUUGAUGAAUUGCAUAAACCUUGUAGAAUUGCGUUUGGGAUCCAACAACUUGGAAGGAGAUAUCUCCAUGCUUGAUUUUUCCAGACUUAGUCAACUUACUAAACUUGACCUAAGGGCGAAUAACUUCACUGGUACAGUUCCAAGAAGCCUUUACUCCUGUAGGUCCCUGAAAGCCAUUGGAUUGUCUGGAAAUCAUCUAGAGGGACAAAUAGAAGCUGAGAUUCUUUCAUUGAAAUCCUUGUCCUUCCUCUCUCUUGCUUUCAACCAAUUCACUAACCUCACAGGGGCAAUGAAGAUAUUGAUGAAUUGCAGAAGUCUUCACGCACUCUUGCUUAGUGGUUCCUUUGUGGGUGAGGGAAUGCCAUCUGAUGAUGACAUGGUUGAUUUUCAUGGAUUCCAAAAUCUUCGGCUCUUGGCUUUGGCUGGUUCUAACCUCACUGGUCAAAUACCUUUAUGGUUAUCAAAGCUCAAGAAUCUAGAGAUUUUGGGUCUAGGUUUUAAUCAAAUCACAGGGCCAAUUCCAAGUUGGUUGGGGACACUUCCUAGACUGUUUUAUAUAAGCUUGUCACACAACCGAAUUUCAGGUGAAUUUCCACAGCAACUUUGUCGACUACCAAGGUUGCUUUAUGAACCAAUUGCAUCUCAAGUAGACAACUAUGAAUUUGAAUUUCCUGUCUUCAGCACCAGCAUCAGCAUAGGGGCAAAUCAAACUUAUCCACAACAAAAAUUGUAUUUUUUACCAGGACGGAUAGAAGUAUCUAACAAUAACAUCAGUGGUUAUAUACCUGCUGAGAUAGGCCAAUUGCAGCUUCUCCGCAAGUUAGCUCUUGACUCCAACAACUUCUCCGGUAUCAUUCCAGACCAAAUAUCUAACCUAAAAAAUUUAGAGGUUUUGGACCUCUCCACGAAUCACUUGUCUGGAAUAAUCCCAUCAUCAUUGGCGAGUCUUAAUUUCUUGAAAGAAUUUAAUGCCUCAUACAAUAAUCUUCAAGGACCAAUACCAACAGGCACCCAGCUCCAAAGCUUCAACGCUUCUGUCUUUGAGGGGAAUCCAAAACUUUGUGGUGCCCCACUUCCAAAUAAGUGCAAACCAAGUAAGGGCAUUGAUGCAUAUAACAAGAACAAUAAAGACGUGGACAAUGGACUUCAUCAACUUCCGUGGUUUCAUAUUUUCGUUGCUUUGGGGUUCAUAGUAGGAUUUUGGGGAGUUUGUGGUUCUUUAGUUAUUAACAAGACAUGGAGAUAUGUCUAUUUUCAAUUCAUAGACAAUCUACAAGAUAGGCUCUAUGUGAUGAUAAGUUGAUAACAAUCCACAUCAACAUGAUGAAAAUAAGGCUUGGAGGCUAGAUAUAUAUUAUUAAUAUGUUGUACUUUUUAUUUUGCAUUUUCAGUUUGCUUUUUGUUUUUUGUUUUCUCCUUCUUUUGAAAGUAACUGGACUCAAAUUUAAAGGAUAUAUGUUGUUAUGUUCAUAAAGUUAUGGGGGAAUUUGUACUUAAUUGUAAUAACCCAAUCCUAAAUAAAUAUUUAAUUAUUAAUUUAUGUAAAUAAAAGACAAUUUUACCUCGGGAAUAUUUUAAUGGGUUAAAAGUUAACUUUCGGGAAGGAAUAUGGGGAUUUCAGUUGUACCGUUGCGUAGAGCAAGUCGAGAUGAGUCCGUAGACACAUAGUGGGCUCAAAUCGGAGUUAUAACGAAGAAUUUAUAAUCUACGGAAGCUCAAUGGCGUACUCGUAAAUUUAUUUCAAAGUUAAGAUUUUUUAAACCCAGAAUUCUUCUUCUCUGUCGCAAGCUUCACGAACAAUAGUUUUCAAACUCAAAUUUCUCCUCCGUCCAGCCACCAAUUUCUACGCCACAACUUGCAAACUCUUCAUCUUUCUCUCCUCUUCACAUCCAUACCAAUUUCCAGACCCAAAUUCAAGAGAAAAAACCAGAAAAUUGAUCAAAAGCAUAGCCAAAAAAGGAGCCCAAACCAACUAUGCAAAAACAGCAGCCGUUCGUGGUCUUUGGACACCCACGCUCUGCCGGACCGUGGGGCGGCUUGUGGGCCACUUUUUGACCAAUCCUUGAGUCCUAAAAUAAUCCUCAUGUCGUCUAUUGCACAACGGUAUGCUCAGAUAUGAAUUUGGUUAUCAUCUGAUCGUCGAUUGGAUAUCGCAUAUUAGGCGUUACCUAGGUUUGAUAUGUUUGGACCGUUGGAUCGACUUCAUUUUCAAAUUUGUUAAUCUAGACAUCUCUAAGAUCGUGUAGAAAUUCGCGGAUCGAGAAUUGGGAUCCCAAAUCGAGCAUGGACGCUCGAUAACCCCUUUGUCACAAGUGUGAUACCGGCUGCAGCCGAAGGCUCUCCAAUGUAUAAAUUAGAAUAAGUACAAAGGGAAUAAUGAUCUGGACAAAGUAAUAGCAGGAUUGCUGAAUGUCGUAGUUACCUCUUUUUUGGGACUUGUGCCUCAUCUUAUAGACUUUGGGAGGUGUGCAUCUUGAGUGGAGUUUCGAUGUGGGACUCUAGACAUUGUAUGAGGAAGCACCACAUAUACUUGUGAGAAGUUGUGGAUGAAAUGAGUUUGUUGCCACGAUCGACAAUCCUGGGUGCUAAGGGCUAGCCCUGCUGGUGGUCCUUCGUGUGAUGUAAUCGACUAUUGGGUUUUUAGCGAGUCAUCCUUAUGGGUCCCUUUUUCCACAUGUAGUCUUCUGAUUGGUUGGUUGGAUAUGGUGUAAACAAACUUACUCGUCAAACUUACUUUCUCCUGUUCAAUUAAUGAAACCUAGUCAAACAAAAAAUGAUUACAAAACAAACCCAGCAGACGACCUCCACACCAUUCCCAUGUAGUAAAUGGGGAAGCAAGUUCUUGUUUCAGUUUGGCUUUUGGAGGAAGUUAUGUUGCAUUAAAUGAGUCGUUGAAAUUGAAGACAUUUAGGUCUUCACUUGGGGCUGCCGACAUUGGUGUAGAGUAUGAGAAAAGUCUUGCUUUUCACAUUGAGCAAAUGCCCUAUUAAUAAUAUUCAACAACUGAUUCAUUUAGUGUGUGGGGGCUUUGAAAACAACAUAAAAAUAUAAUAUUAGAAGUAUUAAAAGUAACAAAAGUUUAAGCGGCAGGGAAUGGGAAGAGGAAUGUAGGCACGCCAACAACAGCAAACAUGUUAUAUUAUAUGUAGUAUUUUUUUAUUUUAUAAAAGUUGAGAAGGUACAGAAGAGAGGAUUGGGGUGGAUGUUGCAGAGAGUGAAACUGUGAAAAAAAAAAAAAAAGGGAGGUAUUGUUUUUUAUUUUUUAUUUUUUUAAUUUUCUUUUUCAAAGUGGGGGGUUGGGCUUGUUUCAUUUUAAAUUUUUUUAAAAGAUAAGUGUAGUCUCUAUACAUUAUAAUUUUAUUCUUGAUAUUCUGGAAGAAGUACUCGUGGUGGUACCAGAUCCUCGAAUCGAGAUCCAAACGCGUGACCCACUCGAACCACAUCUUCGUUAUCUGCAUCAUGGGCCUCUUCCUCGAUCCCAUCUACUGCUUCCUCCCCAUCAUUGGUGAAUCCUCUUGUACGAAAAUCGACACUGGGUUUCAGCAGCUGGAUUAACUCUUCAGAUUUGAGACUGGCCAAAUUCAUUCAUAUAUUUUUGCUUCACAAAUGUCUUCUGCUCAAUUAGUAGCAAAUUGAUUUCACCCUAAGUUUUGAUGCCCAAAAAGACUUUUUAGAACUAAAAAAUUGUGAAAAGAGAAAAGGACGAACAAAUAAAAAAGGGUAAAUUUUACUUUACUAAUCGGAAGUUUCCUAAAAUUCAGACUUUACUGCAUCAAAUUUUUUUCGUAUCAACUUCGUACUAAAAUUUUGAUUUUUCUACUAUUUUCAUAUAUCUAUUAGUCAUUUUGUCAAAUGCUCUAUUAUGUGGGAUUUAAGAAACCAAUAAAUUAUAUAAAUAAUAAAUAUUUUUUUAAAAAAUUGAAAAAAAAUAAAUUCUCUCCACCUGUUUUCUCUUCUUCUAUCUCUGUACAUGAACACCCAAUCCAUCCCUCCCCUCUCUCCGACAGCCACUAACCCAACCACAUCAAUUGAAUCAGUGCUUAACAAGCAUCUUUCCUUCUCCUUCAAUUAAUCAAACCUGUUGAUGCUAAAAAAUGAUUGGAUACUUUAGGACGGCCCAACUUAGUGAUGAUGUCACCUUCGGUCUCAUAUGAGCUUCGGUAGAGCGAUUGAUCUGCAAGAGAAUGAAUGCGAUAAGCCUUUUGGCACUGGUAUGGUAGCGGCCGAAGUCGGAGGCUCUCUGAUGCUUAAAUUAGAAGUAAAUUUAGGUUUUACCCAUAAAAAAACUUUCACUUUUGGAAAAAGCCAAAGCUUUUUCAAAAAAGACGGAAUAACCUCUCAACUUUCAAACCACAGACAUGCAAAUGUAAAGGAUUUCUUAGGAAAUCAAAAAAUAAAUAAGGGCAAUUUUGUCCAUUUUUGCUUCUUUUAAAAAUUUUCUCUCUCCUUUGGGCUUUUCCAAAGUCUCCCUAAAUUAGAAUAAGUACGGAGGGAAUACUGAUCUGGCCAAAGUAACAGGAUUGCCGAAUGUCGCAGUUACCUCCUUUUUGGGACUUGUGCCUUAUCUUAUAGACUUUGGGAGGCGUACAUCUUGAGUGGAGUUUCGAUGUGGGACUCUGGACAUUAUCUGAGGAAGCGUCACAUAUACUUAUGAGAAGUUCCAGAUGAAAUGAGGGUUUUGCCACGAUCGACAAUCCUGGGUGCUAAGGGCUUGGGAUGUAAUCGACUAUUGGCUUUUUAGUGGGUCAUCAUCCUUGUGGGUCUCUUUUUCCACAUGCGGUCUUCUAAUUGGUUGGUCAGAUAUGGUGUAAACAAAACCCAAAAAAAAAAAAAAAAAAUCUUGUGUUUCUUUUACUCAUCAAACCUACUUUCUCCAAUUCAAUUAAUGAAACCCAGUGAAACAAAAAAAUGAUUACAAAACAAACCCAGCAGACGACCUCCACACCAUUCUCUCCUCCGCGCAACGCAUAAGAGCUCACGGCGGUAACAAAAUAAAAAAAAUAAAAAACCCCAGACUCUGAACUCUACAUGGCCUUCAGGCUGGAAAUGCAAGAAGCCAUAACCGCCUCUAUUGCUCUCGAGACCCUCGUCAUCGGCCUCCGUUUCGAGUUCACGCAACUUGAACGAACGACUCCGUUUUGGACCUCUCCGCCACACGCUCAUGCUCAUCCUCGAGGAUGUCUAGCGAUUAGCUCAGCAGAGCGAGAUGAAGACCCAGGAAGAUCUCAGACGUUGGAUUCACGAUCAGAAGUUCGCCGCCCAACCCAUUGUACGGAUGGAUCGUCUUCGUCGUCACCGACUCGCAUUGAGAUCUGGUGCAUAGGGUGGGGUGGGGUGGUUGGAGGUCCAAGAAGGGAAAGGUGCUGAUGAGAUCUCGACAUGGAGCUGGUGGAUUGUGUCUUGGGAGCAGGAGAUGGGUGCUAGUGCUAAGCUAUAUGUCUCCUUGCCGAAGUCCUUGAUAUCACAUCUCUCUCCUUCCUGGCCCGGCUCACCUGCCUCUGAAGCUGGAAUGCCUUUAUAGAGGAGGCUACCCGAGGAAUCGAAAAGUUUGAAGUGGGAAUGGAAAAAGGGUGGAUGCAAUAGAAUCCGGUCUCUUUAGCAGGAGUUCUCUUUAAAAAAAUAAGAAGACUCGCUUUCUUUACUAAAAAGACUCUUUGAUUCGUUUUGUCUCAUCGAUGCAGUCACCAGGCUAAACUGUUAAACAUUCUGAUGCCCUGGUCAAUUGUUUGCUCACCCGCUGUUGUGUUCAUAUAUAUGGUUGGAGGUUUUACAGAGAAUUUACAGAGAAUCUCUGGUUUGAAGAGAUGUUCCCUGUGCUGAUCUAAAAGCCACGAAACGUUGUUUAAAAUAGUUUGAAAUGUCAAACUUUAAAUCUUGACCACAUAUUCAGAUAUGAUUCUGCCCAAUCAAUGACCUUUAUUGAUAUAGUUCGACAAAAGAAUGUGUCUAGGCAAAAACAAACAUGAAAGCUUCAGCUCCAAAAGUCCAUCAAGGCUUUCAAAUGAAAAACUGCAUCCAGCCAUCUAGCCACCACAGAGAACUAUAUGUACCCAACAGACUGUCAGACUCAAACAAUCACUAUUGACAGAAAUAUCUCAAAGCAGUGGUAGACAUCCCCUCAUUUUUGCAAACUCCGUUAUCAUGAAACUUAUUUUGACAGAUUUAUUUUGAAACUGAGUAGAACUUCGAAGAAACCUAGCAUUACAUAUCACCUGCAUUAUGUGAAGGUUGCAGAACUCAAUGAAGUGAUUGCCUCAUGGUUUUGGCUACAUUAUGUGAAGUUAGAAGUUAGAACCUGCAAUUGAUUAUGCAUAAGCAUCCGAGGAUAGUUGAAAGGGAGCAUGCUGCAAAAUCCAUGACAUAACAGUAGGAAACUACCGAACUCUCACCGCCGUACAAAUCAUAUACAUACCGCCUAUUGUCAUACUGGCACUAAGUUCCAAUUUCUGUAAUAACUUAAAAAACAUGCUUGUUUAUAUACUUGAAGAUGGUUUAAUGUAGCAUCUGCACAAAUACAAGGUCCAUUAACAUAUAAUUACAGUCUUCAAGAGCAGGUUGUUCUGAUAACCAACAAAUAAAAUAGUGCAAUGCAUGACUAUCCAAAGUGAAUAAAUAGAAGCAUGCAUCCUAUGGUAUUUCUAUGGGGAACCCCAAGCCACCUUAUGCCAAAGCAUCUUAGAUAAAGACUGCCUGAACUCUUACCUAGCAUUAUUCACAGAUGACAAAUUCACCUCGAUUUGGAUUAGAAUCCACAGCUUCAAUAGACAUACAUAUUCUAAGCUGAGAAAGCUCUUUGGUACUCGCAAUUGCAAACCCCACUGCGCGCGCACAUACACACACCAAUAAUCUCACCUUCUUAUUCAAUAUCAAUAAUCUUGCUAUUUGAGUCAUCCUCAAGAAUGUUGUGUACUGCCCGAAUCAAACUAUAAACUGGAGAGAAAAUGUCACAAAAGAAGCACCAAAUGUAUACAAAAUCGAAAUCUUGACAAUCCCCAUUACCAUUCAAAUUUGUACACUGAAUACUCAUAUUAGCAAUUUGAUCAAACUCAAAAUGAAGCCAAAGAAAUUUGCACACAUAGGUAUUUCGUAUAUUCAAACAGAUUGAAAGGUAUGAAUUCUUGCACCAUUUUCCAUAUAAUUUAACAACCAAACUACCAAAGCUCAGUCUAACACGAGUUCAGCUGGAGCAGCACACGAGUUCAGAUGGCAGAAAAAACUUCUCUUUUGAGACUUUGAAUUAGAAUUUGCAGAGAAUUGAAGAGCACCUCCACCCCAAAAGGUAAGAGCAAGGCAAGGUUUGACACUAUUCAUGUGAAUAGUGUCAGCCUUGCCUUUUUUGGUUCCACCCCAAAUGGCAAGGGCAAGGGCAAAUACUAUUCACUUUACUUUAUUAUUAUUAUUUUUUUAUACUUAUCUAUUAAUUUUGAUAGUUUUUCAGAUAAUAUUUUCGGUUGCCAUGUGUCACUAUUUAUUAUAAAAUUCUCACCUAAAAUUUCAGAUAACAUUUUCAGAUAAAAUUUUCAAAUUAAAUUUUUGGAUAAGAUUUUCGGUUGCCACAUGUCCAUAUUUAUUAAAUUAAAAUUUUCAAAUGGAAUUUUGUAGUAGAAAAUUUGGUAUGGAAAGUGAAAAAUAUAGGAAGGAGAUGAAUUUGUAUGAAGAUUUGGUGUGGAAAAGUGAAUAAUAUUGGGGAGACUUUGGAAAAGCUCAAAGGAGAGAGAAAAAUUUUAAAAGAAGCCAAAAUGGACAAAAUUGCCCUUAUUUAUUUUUUGAUUUCCUAAAGAAUCUUUUACAUUUGCAUGUCUUUGGUUUGAAAGUUGAGAGGUUUUUCUGUCUUUUUUGAAAAAGCUUUGGCUUUUUCCAAAAGUAAAAGUUUUUUUAUGGGUAAAACCUAAAUUUACUAUAAUAUUGGUAGGUAUUUAUAGAAAAAAAUUCUAGAAUUUUUUGAUAUAUUUUUUUCAAUUUUUUUUUAGGCGCUGAUGUCAGCAUGACGUUAGCAGCCUAAGGGCAACAGCCCAGUCCAUUUUUGACUGUGGGCUUGCCCAGGCUGGCCUUUUUGCGCUGGAGGAUGAAUUGGGGCCUCGGGGGGCCUGUUGCCAUGGCAACAGCCUAGCACUGCACAUGCUUAAAAGGAGACUUUGAUUCCAUAUAUCUGGGCUUUAACAAAUUCAUCCAAUGCGUCUUGUGCAUCUUUUUAGUGUUUUUUGCAGUGAUUUCUCACUGAUUAUUUUUGGGAAUUUGAAAUUUGUGACCCUUGAUUUCUUAAUACAUGAAAGUUAUUAUAUCUAGUCUAAUAUGAAUUAAUAGAAAAUAUUUUUAUAACAUGAAUAGGGCAUCAAUGUAUGUUUACAUCUGGCUUGACUGUUAUCAAUUACAACAUUUUGCUCUUCAAAACUCAAUGCUCUGUUAUAUUUUAUGGAAUUAAUAAAUAUGGACUAAGUGAGACAGAGAAUUGAGUUUCAGAGAGUAAAGUGUGACAAAUUGAGUUUUAGAUGGCAAAGUGAGAUUCAAAUUGAGUUUCAAGGGCCAUAUCAAUAAUUAAUCCUUUUAAAUUUUAUAUUGUGCCAUUUGUGUAGAAAGGACUUCUUUGUGAACGAUUGCUGCUUAUCAGUGAUACGUGAUUUUUUUUUUUAUGUAGUUGCCUUCAUGUGGGGCAAACAACUUGGAAAGAAUGACUAUCUUCCAAUUUUCUUAGAAAAAUUUUCAACAAGAAAAGAACUUGGACUUUGAUUGACAUGGAAGAUGUGCUGGUACCACAUAUCAGCUGCCUUAAAAAUCCAAAAUGAAAAUUCAGUAUAAGAAGAUCUUUGCUUGAGGACGAAAGUCAAUGCAGACUUUAAAAUACACAAGGUCAUCGCUUUGGUUUCAUUAGUGGAAAUCUCUCUUUGACGUACAGAGGGGUUUGGAUAAUUUGUGCUGUGUGGUUAUGGCAGCUUAUAAACCUGUCAUUUUGUGCAACAGUGGGGGCCCUAGAGACAGUUAAGAACGGUGAAACAUGAUUUCUUUGUGAUUGGCUAUGGCUAAACUUAUCCAAGACCAGCAGAUUGCGCAGAGAAUGGGCAUAGAAGCGCGACGGCAUGUGACAGAUUCAUUCUCUACAAAAAUAGUUGGUCAGCAUUUGAACAUAUCAAUACCUUGUUGACGUUGCUUGGAGGAAAGAAGACUGAAGACUGCAUGACCUUGCAGCAUAAGUUGUUCAAUUGAAUCAACUCAGAGACUGAUAUAUUAAUUUGUUGGGUUUAAUAUAUCCAUCAAUUUACUGAGUGUGUGGCUAUUGGUGAAGGGAUUUCUAGAUUAGUUAUGUUUUAUGCCUUUCGUCAUUUGGUCCUGUGUAGUUAACAGAUGCUAGUGACUUGUGAAUGAAGAGAGAGAAGAUUUGCUACGAAGGUUCGACUUCUCCUGCAGUUUAACGUCAAUAAGGAAGUCAAUGUAAUGUUGGAUAAGGCUUGACUGCCACUGUCAUUCUGAGGCCAUAUAUAUUCCCAAUUCCAUGAAAAAAUUAUCACCAUUAGUCACGGCAACAACUUUGAAUACUAAGGCGUUGUGGACUUUAAAUUUGCAUCGUUUCAAGCAUUGUUGCUCUUAUAUAUAUAUAUAUAUAGUCCCCUUUUAUUGAGGGAUCCCUCAAAUAAUUUUAUUUGAAGGACGCCCUUUAGGAUACCCUACAAUUUUUUUCCCAAUGAUCCAAACCAUUUAUUUUUUAGGUCUUCAUUUAUAGAUCAUCCUUACAAAAAAUUAGACAAAUCGGAAACCGUUUCGAAUCCAAUUGUGUCUUACAAAAUCAAUGAACACGGUGCUUCAAGAAAAUGCUAAAAUUUCAAUAACUUAAUUGAGUGGUCAAAUGAUAUCGGAUUCAAGUGAUUUUUUGUAGAGAUGAUCUUUGAAUGAGUAUCUACAAAAUAGACGGUUUGGAUUAGUGAAAUACAAUCCGGAGUGGGGCCUACAAGGGGUGUCCCUCAAAUAAGCUUAUUUGAGGGAUCCCUCAAUGGAAGCUCUCUGUAUAUAUAUAUAUAUAUAUAUAUAUCAGUCCCCUUCUAUUGAGGGAUCCCUCAAAUAAAAUUAUUUGAGGGACGCCCUUUAGGGUACCAUACAAUUUUUUUUCCCAAUGAUCCAAACAAUCUAUUUUUUAGGUCUUCAUUCAUAGAUCAUCCUUACAAAAAAAUUAGACAAAUCGGAAAUCGUUUCGACAUCCAAUUGUGUCUUACAAAAUCAAUGAACACGGUGCUUUAAGAAAAUGCUAAAAUUUCAAUAACUUAAUUGAGUGGUCAAAUGAUAUCGGAUUCAAGUGGUUUUUUGUAGAGAUGAUCUUUGAAUGAGUAUCUACAAAAUAGACGGUUUGAAUUAGUGAAAUACAAUCCGGAGUGGUAUAUAUAUAUAUAUAUAUAUAUAUGGGACACACAUAAAACCACACUUUUUUACACACAUCUUUAGCCCUUAGAUCUAUCCCAAUCUAACGGUUGAAAAUUGAAUCGUUCAAGUUCAAAAAAAAUUAAAAUUUAGUUGUUCUUGGUUUGACUUAAUUUUGUUUUAUCAUUUAACAAAAUAUUAGCCCACCCUUUUGAAAUUUUUUAGUUCCACUCUUGCAAUAUAGCUCAUAUAUGCGUUAUGAUAUGAAUGGACUAAGUUGAUAUUUUUCCAUUUUAAGUACUCAUAAAAUAUUAAGUUGUUGGGAAGCUUCAUAGUUUGUUUUUUUCCUUCAAGUUGAUAAACGUUUUCCACAUUUUCUUCCAAAUUCUAGCUAUGUAGUCACGUGGCGUCGCCACAUACUAGCCUUGAGUGGUCAUGCCCAGUGGCGGACCCAGACUUUUUCCCAUCUGGGGGCAUAAAAAACAAUUUCAUAACUGACUCCUACAAAGGCUAGGUUUUCAUAGCAAUACAAUAUAUAUUAUAACACAUAAUCUAUUUCAAUAAAUUUUUAAUAUAUGAUUUUGGGCCAAAAUCUAAGGCUUUAUAUAUUGGACCAUAUGUUUAUUAAGUCUCGGGCCUUGAUAUUUUCAAUAUAGAAGAGGUUUUGGGCUAAAAACUUGAAGGCUUUACUUAUUUAGGGUGCUGAGUGGGCAUUUUGCAUGCAAAAUAUUAGCCAAGUGUCUGGGAGCAUGAGUUAUAUCCCGCACAAAAAUGAUAAGAACAACUCUUCUCACUUGUUUGUUAAUAUAUUAGUAUCUCUAUGAUAACAUAUGUUACCAAUAUGAAGUAUCUGCAAAACUAAUCGCUUAGCUCAAAGGGAAGGUAAAUUGCUCCUGUUGUGAAUGAUCGGAUGAAGCAGCCAUUGCACCACCCAAGAUAAGAAAGAAAAUUCAAGAGUUACUAAUAGCCCUUCUGUCUUUCGCAAUUUAUGAAGAGGUUGUACUUGAGCCACAUUGUUAAGAUAGCAAAACAGGUGAAUUUGAAUAACUCUAGGGGCAUGUCAGUACCCAAAUCGUGCUCGAAGACCACACACAUAUGGCCGAAUGUCAAAUUCAUGUUGAAGACCAAACAUCGUCUACCUGUUUAUUUGUUUGUUUUCAAUUAGUUUUUCGGCAAUCAAGUAUUCAUUUAUACAUGAUUGUCUGCUUUCUUGUUAUUUUUUGCUUUAAUUUUCAUUUGAGCUACAGUCUUGAAUUAGCUGUAGUAUUCUUUUUUCUUUAUUGAAUAUUUCUCUUUUUUGGAAUUUUUUAAGGCCAAGUUUUAAUGAAACCAUAUUUGAUUUGUGGCUCCUCUUUUUUUUUUUUUUUUUGGUAAUUAAGUUGUUGGCGAAGAACUUUAUGUCAUACACAUGAAAUUAUAGUUUAAAAUGAACUAGUAUGGGGUUGUAUUAGUUUAAUCUGUGGUGGGAAUGGCCCUACCCUCUAACUAAUCCAUUUACAUUGUUUUAUGGAGUCAAUUACAAUUGAUUUACUGUAGAUUUUUAAUUAUUUAUUUAUUUUUAAUGUAUUAUAUCUUAACUUAAGCGAUAAGAUUUAGUCUUCAUAAUCAACAAUAAGUCAAGAUGAUGAUUGACAAAUAGACCCCCACCCAACCACAUUUUAAUUCACAUCUUAUAUUCCUUCCAGAUUUUCAACCAAUCUGCAGACAUGGAUGAAAAAGUAAUUUGCAUUCAAACCACAAGUUCUUUGAAGGUAGCUCUCGUUCAAACAAUCAUAUGUAAUUUACUGUGGGUCGUUGCCACGCAGAGUUAGAGCAUGAUUGGUCCAAAUAAACUUGAUUAGCAGUGAUUGAAUGGGCAGCUAAUUGCCCAUCAUUUUUGAUUAAUUAUUUCCAAUUUGUCUUAUGCAGCAUGUAAUUAGGUAGAAUUCCAUGAUGAAAAUUUUCCUCUUAGGCAGUCAGUGUCAGCCUUCCAAGUUCGCAUAAUUGCUUUUUGAAUGCUGGGGUUGAUAGUAAUUGCCUUUUUUGGAGAAUGCUAGCAACCUUCUCCCUUUUUUGCUUGAUAUGUGUCAUUCUCCUUACACUUCAAACAAUGUCAUUAAUAUAUUAUACAAGCUAACUUUUUCUUUCCAAGUUUACCCUUAUUAAAUGUAUUCAAUUUAUUCAAAAAAAUUUCGCAACUUUCUUACCAUCUUAUUAAUUUUUUUUUUAACAUAAAUUUUUAUAUUUAAGAAAAUGUCUGCUUUUAAAAAUAAAAUAAAAAGGGGAAAUGUCCCUUUUUUUUAACGUCAAGUUUAGACUUUUUAUUUAUUAAAAAAGGGCAUUUCCUUUUUUUUUUUUUAAAAAAGAAAAUAUUUUCUUUAUAAAAAAAUAAUUGAGGUUAAAAAAAAUUUAAUAAGAUGGUAAGAAAGUUGUGAAAUUUUUUUGGAUAAAUUGAACACAUUUAAUAAGGAUAAACUUGGAAAGCAAAAGUUAACUUGGAUAAUCUAUUAAUGACAUUGUUUUAAGUGUAAGGAGAAUGACACAUGUCAAGUAAAAAAUAGAGGAGGUCCAAAGGAGAAGAUUAGAGAGAAGGUUGUUAGCAUUUCUCUUAUAGUAAUUGUCUACUUGUUUAUUUGUUUGUUUUCAGUUGGUCUUUAGUAACUUAAAGACAAGAACAAUGGUGAAUACAGCCCAAUUCACUUCAUCAUUAGUUCAUUCAUCCCAUUCAACAAUACAAACAAAACCCACAAAGCAAUUAUACAAAGAAAUUAUUCCGUCUGAGUCUCAGUGCUUCUGCUUACAGCUUGCUUCUAAUUCAUCCAAUCAACUUAAAGACAAGAACAAGUGAUCAGAACCCAUUUCAGUUCAUCACCAACUCAUCCAAUUUCACAUCCCAAACAAACCCAAAUCAAGAGUGAUUAUUUAGAAGCAAGAUUAGUGGCAGACAAGCCCAUAUAUCUCAGGCCACGUCGCUCUCAAGCAAGGUUAGUGAAGAAUAACACCAUAUAUCUUCCAAAAAUUUCCAUGAAAAAUUAUCACCAUAUAUCAGGGCAACAACUUUUAGUACUUUGUGUGAACGCCUCAAAUUAAGUAGGUCAAGUCUUCUCCUGGUGGCCCCCUAUUAAGUGGUUGUUGUGGAAAUAUAUAUUCGACGUAUACAGGGGUCAAUUUACAUCGUUUUCAAGCAUGGUUGCUCUUAUAUAUAUAUAUACCUAAUUUGCACUGAGCAACAGCACAUACACAAAGCAACAUGCUAGUGCAAGCUUAUAACCUAAUGGCUCAUGCCUUCCUUCUCUUCCUCUUAUUGCCUUCCAUUAUAUCUACAAAUAUUCAUGCCUGCAAACAAACUGAAAGGAGCUCCCUUCUGUCCUUUGCCUUCACUCUCACUUCUCCUCCUUUAAAUUGGACAUCCCUUGAUUGUUGUCGUUGGAAGGGCAUCACUUGUAAUCAAGAUGGUUGGGUAACCCGUUUGAUAUUACCUUCCAAAGGGCUCAAAGGAGGUAUCUCUCCCUCUUCACUUGAAAAUCUCACACAUCUCACCCACUUGAACCUUUCCCACAAUUCACUAUAUGCUUCACUUGAAACUCAGUUCUUCUUGUCUUUGAAUCGACUUGAGGUCCUUGAUUUGAGCUAUAACCGUCUUUUUGGAAAGCUACCAAUUUCUCUACCAUCUAGCAAUAUCCGGACAGUUGAUUUGUCCAGCAAUCACUUCAUUGGUGCAAUUCCAUCUUCAUUCUUCCAACAAGCAAGCAACUUAACUAGUUUCAAUGUUAGCAACAAUAGCUUCACAGGGUAUGUCCCAUCCUCUAUUUGUCCCCAACAUUCUUCUCCCUUCCUUAGGCUAUUGGAUUUUUCUUCCAAUCUAUUUAAUGGCAACCUUGCUCCUGGGUUAGGGAAGUGUUCUGAAUUGCAGGUUUUUCGUGCCAAUCAUAAUAACCUCUCAGGAUUUCUUCCAGAAGAUAUCUAUAAUGCUACCAAACUUGAAGAAAUUGCAUUACCUCUCAAUUCACUACAUGGAGCAAUUAGUGAUAAAAUUGUCAACCUCACCAACCUUGUCAUCCUUGACCUUUCCUUUAAUCAUUUUGGCGGCGAGCUUCCUCUCAAUUUGGGGAAGCUCUCCAAGUUGAAGUUUGUGACCUUAGAUUUCAACAAUUUAGAAGGUACGUUGCCCCCAUCUUUGAUGAAUUGCACAAACCUUGUAGAACUGCGUUUGGGAAACAACAACUUGGAAGGAGAUAUCUCUGUGCUUGAUUUCUCAAGACUGAGUCAACUUACUAAACUUGACCUAAGGAUCAAUAACUUCACUGGUACGGUUCCAGUAAGCCUUUACUCAUGUAGGUUCCUAAAAGCCAUUCGGUUGGCUGAAAAUCAUAUAGAGGGACAAAUACAAGCUGAGAUACUUUCAUUGAAAUUCUUGUCCUUGAUCUCGUUUGGUUACAAUCGAUUCACCAACCUCACAGGGGCAAUGAAGAUAUUGAUGAGUUGCAAAAGUCUUCACACACUUUGUCUUAGCGGUUCCUUUGUGGGUGAGGGAAUGCCAUCUGAUGAUGACAUGGUUGAUUUUGAUGGAUUCCAAAAUCUUCGGGUCUUGGGUUUGGUUCGUUCUAACCUCACUGGUCAAAUACCUUUUUGGUUAUCAAAGCUCAAGAAUUUAGAGAUCUUGGCUCUGGGUUUUAAUCAAAUCACAGGGCCGAUUCCAAGUUGGUUGGGGACUCUUCCUAGACUAUUUUAUAUAAGCUUGUCACACAACCGAAUUUCAGGUAAAUUUCCACAACAACUUUGUCGACUACCAAGGUUGCUUCAUGAACCAACUGCAUCUCAAGGAGAGAAUUAUGAAUUUGAACUUCCUGUCUUUAGUGCCAAUUGCUUCAGAAUAAUCGCAAAUCAAAAUUUUCAAUCGCAAAAAUUGGAUUUUGUUCCAGCAACGAUAGACUUAUCUGCGAAUAACAUUGUUGGUGAUAUACCCACUGAGAUAAGCCAAUUGCAGCUUCUCCACACGUUGGGUCUUGACUCCAACAACUUCUCCGGCGUCAUUCCAGACCAAAUAUCUAACCUAAGAAAUUUAGAGGUUUUGAACCUCUCCAUGAAUCAAUUGUCUGGAAUAAUCCCAUCGUCAUUGGCGAGCCUUAAUUUCUUAAAAGAAUUUAAUGUCUCAGAUAAUAACCUCGAAGGAUCGAUACCAACAGGCACCCAGCUCCAAAGCUUCGAAGCUUCUGCAUUUGAGGGGAACCCAAAACUUUGUGGUGCGCCACUUCCAAGGUGCGAAUCAAAUAAGGGCAUUGAUGCAGAUAACAAGAACAACAAAGACGUGCACAAUGGGCUUCAUGAACUUCCAUGGUUUUAUAUUUUCACUGCGCUGGGGUUCAUAGUGGGAUUUUGGGGAGUAUGUGGUUCUUUAAUUAUUAACAAGAUAUGGAGAUAUGCAUAUUUUCGAUUCAUAGACAAUCUACAAGAUAGGGUCUAUGUGAUGGUAAUAGUGCGAAUCAACAUGAUGAAAAAAAGGCUUAGAGGCUAGAUAUAUAUUAUUAAUAUUGUACUUUUUAUUUUGCAUACUCAGUCCAAAGAUAUGAAAACUUAUGCAUAUUCAUGUAAUACGGUUGUCAAUUGUGAAGGAUUGAUGUCUUGUCUAUGUUUUGGAUUGGAAUUCCCUUGCUGCUGUGCUUUGGCAUGUGGGGCUCAAAGGUUAUGUUUGAAUAUUGAAGUCGCCAUAUGUUUUCAUGUCCUUUUAACUUGGUUCAUUGCUUGUUGAUAUUAAGGAGCGUAUGGUGAGCGCCCUCAUGCCUUGAAUCAUUUAUCAUCAAAAUAUUUGAUAUCCUAACUGAUCAUGCAUUUCAUACGCUGACAAAAAUUUGUGGACUUUGUCUAUACACAUGAGGAAGAAACACAGGUGUGCGUUCAGGGCUUCUAAGCCAAUGAAGACAUUCAGAAUUUCAUUUUGGAGUGGAGGAGCUUGUGCUAAGGACAUAUUUGUGUAUGGGAGCAUGAGUUAUAUCCUGCACAAAAAUGAUAAGAACUACUCUCUCACUUGUCUAUGAUAACAUAUGUUACCGAUAUGAAGUAUCUGCAAAACUAAUCGCUUAGCUCAAAGGGAAGGGAAAUUGCUCCAGUUGCGAAUGAUCGGAUGAAACAGCCAUUGCACCACUCAAGAUAAGAAAGAAAAUUCAAGAGUUAUUAAUAGCCUUCCUGUCUUUGGCAAUUUAUGAAGAGGUUGUACUUGAGCCACAUUGUUAAGUUAGCAAAACAGAUGCAUUUGAAUAACUCUAGGGGUAUGUCAGUACCAAAUCAAGUAUCCGCUCUUUUUACUCCCAUUUCGUUGAAAAACAGGGCAAAGCCUAUAUGUUCAAUUCUGGUGGUUUUUCAAAGUAAUUGGUGAUUUAGUCUUCAUAAUCAACAAUCUACAAGUCAAGAUGGUGAUUGACAAAUAGACCCCAACCCACCCACCCCAUUUUAAUUCACAUCUUAUAUUCCUUCCAGAUUUUCAAGCAAUCUGCAAACAUGAAUCAAAAAGUAAUUUGCAUUCAAACCACAAGUUCUUAGAAGGUACCUUUCGUUCGCACAAUCAUGUAAAUUACAUCAACUUUGUGGUGAUUGAAUGGUCCAAAUAAACUUGAUUAGCAGUGAUUGAAUGGGCAGCUAACCGAUAAGGGUCCCAUCAACUUUGAUUAAUUAUUUCCAAUUUGUCUUAUGCAGCAUGUAAUUAGGUAGAAUUCCAUGAUGAAAAUUUUCCUCUUAGGCAGUCAAUGUUAGCCUUUGAAGUUCGCAUAAUUGCUUUUUGAAUGCUGGUUAUGAUAGUAAUUGCCUUUUUAAUACUGAUAUUAUAGUAAUUGUCUACCUGUUUAUUUGUUUGUUUUCAAUUGGGGAGUUUGUGGUUGUUUAAUUAUUAACAAGACAUGGAGAUUAUCGUAUUUUCAAUUCAUGGACAAUGUACAAGAUAUGCUCCUCUAUGCGAUGAUAACAAUCCCCCUCAAUAGGAUGGAAAGAAAGCUUAGAGGCUAGAUAUAUAUUAUUAAUAUUGUACUUUUUAUUUUGCAUUUUCAAUUUGCUUUUCCCUUUUUUUUUCUUUAUUUCUGGUCAUGACAUAUUCACGUGAUAAAUUUUUCACAUAAAAACGCUGCAUUGUCGUCGGAUGGACUUCUUCCAUGAAGUGACAGGACCGUCACCCACACUACAUCACCCUGCACUUUCUAUCCUUUCUAUUUCAUUGCAAUAGCUUAGAUUCUAUUUCCCGAAAAGCUAAGAAAUGGUUAUCCUUUUCUCUCGGUAUGCUUGCCAUGUGGCAUCCCAGAAUCAUGUAUAAGCACCUAAAACCUAAUAGCUGGUGCGGGUCAUGAAUGCCUUUCCUUUAAUUUGCUCUCUGUUUUCCUUUUCUGAAUCUGCGAACCUAUCAUGAAGCCCCGAAAGAAAACAAAUGCAAAUAACUACCCGGAAUUUAAAAUGAGCCAAACAUUGUUAAGUUAGCAAAAUAGAUGCAUUUGAAUAACUCUAGGGGCAUGUCAGUAUCAAGUAUCCGCUCUUUUUACUCCCAUUUCGUUUAAAAACAGGGCAAAGCCCGUCAUGAAGCAGCCUAUAUGUUCAAUUCUGGUGGUUUUUCAAAGUAAUUGGAGUCAAAUAUUCUAGGUAAUUGGAGUCAAAUAUUAUAUGUUUAUUUAGUCAAUUAUCUACUAUUUUAUCACAAAAAAUUGGAAGGAAAUACAUUGCAUGGUAAGUUUAAGUGAUUUAAAUAGUGAACUAAAUACUAUGACUUCAGCAAAUUUAUAGUAAUUAAUGAAAGAAUAUUAAAAACACCAUAAUUUUUUUAUAUAUAAUAAUUUACUACACCUUUUUUACCUUUUGUUUUAUAUAUAGAUAGAUAAUAGAUAAUACACUCCAUAAUAAUAUAAUAAAUAAUAUUAAAUAGAUUAAAUAUAUCAUAGGAAAUAUUAAAAUAUUAAAAUAAUAUUAAGACUCGUUGGUUUCAGUAGUGGAAAUAUAUCUUCGACGUAUAGAGGGGUUUCAUUAGUCCCGCAUUUGAACGGUUUAUUUCUAUUUCUUCUCUUUUCCCUCUCAUCUCUCUUGCCUUUCCUUCUCUCCCCCAGUUUUCUUCUUCCUCUUGUCAUGGGGUGACUUUUUCUUCUCUCUUCUGAUUAGUUUCUUCAGUCAGGUCAUGGUUAUUAGUUUCUUCAUAUGGCCGAAUGUCAAAUUCAUGUUGAAGACAAAACUUGGGGCCCAAGGCAAAAUUCAAAAUCAUGGUAUGAUCGACCGAAGGCUAAACUCAAACUCGUGAUCUCAGACUAUACUCAUGGCUGAAGGCCGAAUUCAUGAUCGAAGAUCAUACUUAUGGUUGAAAAUCAUACCCAAGAAACUCCACAUGCUUGUAAUCAAAGAUCAUAUGCAAGUCACACAUAAAAUUUCACACGCAAUGACCUCCCACAUAUAAAUUAGCUUUGUUGUGCUAGAAAGUUGACUUUUAUUCGAGCAGAGUUCUUUAAAGAGAGUAGUUAGCUGAUUAGAUUAGUUUGUUAUUAGUUACUAUUGUAAGUAAUUAGUUAGAGCUGUUGUAACAGCCUGUACAGAUGGCUUUAUCUAUUGUAUAGAGUAGACAGGUGUUAUAUACUCUUCUGUAAUCUUUUCUCAAUUAAUUAAUGAGAAUCAUAAAUUCCUUUAUGGUAUCAUACGCCUAUUCGAUCCUCUCUCCCUUUUCUUCCAACCUGUGAUUUUCUCACCAACCAAACAGUGCUUUUCUCAUCAACCAAACAGUUUCUUCCGCUCUGAUUCUCUUAUUUCCAUGGCUUCUGAGACCAAUUCUUCUUCUUCUGUGCCUUCUGUCUCUCUCACAUCGUCUUCAAUCCCUGCUUUUGCGACUGUUACUGUUCAAAACAUCACAGGCAUGGUUCCGAUCAAGCUUCAAGCUGGCAAUUAUUUGCUGUGGAAGAAUCUUUUUCUUCCUGUUCUUCGCAAAUACAAGCUCCUUGGCCUUCUCAUCGGUGCUGAUCUACGGCCGUCGAAGACAAUUGUUAACAAUGCUGAUUGCAUUGUUGAUAAUCCCACCUUCGAUCUGUGGUAUGAUAAGGAUCAAUCACUCAUGAUCUGGAUCAUCUCCACUCUCUUGACGGAUUUGCUAUCUCAUACGGUUGGCAUUGAGUAUUCUCGUGAUCUCUGGGAGAUGUUGGAAAAACGUUUUGCUGAAGUCUCUCGUGCAAAUGUUCAUCAUCUUCGUCAGCGUCUUCAGAAUCUUGUCAAAGGGGAUCUGUCUAUGGUUUCCUAUCUGCAACAGAUGAAGGAAAUUGCUGAUGGCUUGGGCGAUGCUGGUCAUCCUCUAACUGAUGAUGAUUUGGUGGCUUACAUUCUUGUCGGUCUAUCUGAAGAGUACGAUUCCUUCGUCACUUCUAUUGAAACUCGUCGGGAAAAAGUUUCCUCUGAUGAACUUCACAGUUACCUUCUCGGUCGUGAAGCUGCUCUUCUGAAGCGCAAACUCCAAUCCAAUUCCUCUGGACCUACGGAACCGUUUCAUGCUUAUGUCGCCACUCCUCGUUCUUCACAGCACUUUUCUCUGUCACGUGGUUACAACAACUUUAACUCUCAACAUCGAGGUUUUCCUCCCACACGUGGUCUGCUUCCGUCACCGCCCUCCAAUUUUGCCCCAAAUUUUUCUUCUCCUCCACAAUUUGGUGCGCAAGGGUUUCACAGCCCCAAUUUUUCUUGAAAUUCAAGCCCUGGGGGUGGUAAUUCCAAUUUAGGAGGUUCUUCUUCAUUCAAUUCUGCUGGUUUUUCUUCUGGCCCUAUUCUUGUGUGUCAGUUUUGCAACAAGAAAGGUCAUGCCGCUAACACUUGUCGCAAAUUGGGCCGUCUGCUCAAUGCUUCUGGCAGUUCUUCAUCUUCUGGACCAUUUACUGGCUACUAUGCUAAUCCACAGUCUGCUGCUUCCUCUCCUUCUUGGAUUGUUGACUCUGGCGCUACUGCUCAUGUGACUGCUACCAAUCAGCACCUGCAGAAUUCUUCUCCAUGCACUGGCUCUGACUCUUUGCAAGUUGGUAAUGUUCAUUGCUUACCCAUGUCUCACACUAGUUUUACCCACAUACACACUCCUUCUACUGUUUUUACUUUAAAGGAUGUGUUACAUGUUCCUUCUAUUAAACACAAUUUGUUAUCGGCAAAUAAGUUUCUUCGUGACAACUCUUGUUCACUAACGCUCUAUCCUGAUUCCUUCACAAUUAAGGACUUAGCUACGAAGAGGAUGCUCUUCCAAGGUCUCAGUGAGGAUGGUGUCUAUCGACUUCCUGCUGGUCCUGCAGCUCCUUUUUCAUCAAGCCCUUCAAUUGCUUUUCUGGCUAAUAAAUGUGAUAUCCUCACUUGGCACAAGAGGUUGGGUCAUCCUUAAUUUUCUUUAUUUCGCAAGAUUGUUAGUGGCAAUCAUCUACCUGUUAGUGGUGACUUGUCUGAGUCCUUAAUAUGUUCUGAUUGUAUGGUUGGGAAAGCUCAUAAGCUUCCUUUUGUUGGUUCUGCACAUAAGUCCACCAAGCCUUUAGAGCUUGUGCAUUCAGAUGUCUGGGGUCCUAGUCCCACUGUUUCAGCUCUUGGUUAUAAGUACUAUGUUUUGUUUCUGGAUGAUUACACUAAAUACGACUGGUUGUAUCCUUUGAAAUAUAAAUCAGAUGUGCUUGCAACUUUUAAAGUGUUUAAGGCCAAGUUAGAAAACUUGUUGAACUCUAGGAUCAAGAUCUUGAUGAGUGAUUCAGGUGGUGAAUACUUAAGUACUGCUUUCCAAGAUUUUUUAAACACAGAAGGUAUUGUGCAUCAAUUGAGUGUCCACACACCCCUGAACAGAAUGGCAGUGCCGAACGCAAGCACAGGCAUAUUGUUGAGCUUGCUGGGACACUGUUUGCUUCUUCUUUCGUUCCACAUCGCUUUUGGGUAGAUGCUUUUCAAACUGCCUUGUAUCUCAUCAAUUGGUUGCCCUUUACUUCUUCUACACAGUCUCCUUGGGAAUUGUUGUUUAAACACACUCCAAAUUAUACUACUUUGAAAGUGUUUGGUUGUCUCUGUUUUCCUUGGUUACAACCAUGUAGUUCCUCAAAGUUGGAUCCUAAAAGCAGGCCUUGUGUCUUUCCUGGAUAUAGCUUAAAUCAUUCCGGUUAUAGAUGUCUGGAUAUUUCUACUGGCAAGCUUUUUAUUUCCAGGCAUGUUCUUUUUAAUGAAACAUCUUUUCCUUUUGCAACCCAAGCUCCCCCUAUUUCAUCUUCUCCUAUCUCUGCUUCUUCAGUUCCUAUUUCUCUUACUUUUUCUUUCCCGAUUUCUCCUACUUCUCCUUCCUCUUCACAAUCCCCUAGUUCCAUUUCUCCUUCUUCUGAAUCUGUUCAUUCUUUACCUUCUCAAGAACAAAUACUUCCUUUUCUCCCUUCUCAGGAAUCUGUAGUUCCUUCUUCUCCUAAUUGUCAUCCUAUGGUUACUCGAUCAAAAAGUGGAAUUUUUAGGCCCAAGGCUCUCUCUGCAACUAAGCACCCUAUUCCUACUUCUGUUCAGUCUACUGCUUUAAUUCCUCCUACUCCUCAGACUUAUAAGCAAGCAGCAACCCACAAAGUUUGGAUUGCUGCCAUGGCCUCUGAAAUUGCUGCUCUUCAAAAGACUUAGACAUGGACCCUGAUACCUCCCAAUCCCUCUUAUAAUUUAGUGGGUUGUAAGUGGGUUUUUCGGACCAAGUUUAAAUCUGAUGGGUCUGUUGACAAGUUCAAAGCUCGUUUGGUUGCUAAAUGGUACAAUCAACAGGAAGGUAUUGAUUUUCAUGAAACUUUUAGCCCCGUGGCAAAACCUGUUACUAUUCGUCUUUUGUUAUCCUUAGCUGUGCAAUAUGAUUGGUUCCUCAAUCAACUUGAUGUCAGUAGUGCUUUUCUGCAUGGGUUCUUAAAGGAAUCUGUGUAUAUGAGCCAACCACCAGGUUUUCAUGAUCCCUCCAACCCUGAUUUUGUUUGCAAGUUGAAUAGGAGUUUAUAUGGUCUUAAGCAGGCGCCUCGGGCUUGGUAUGAGGAGCUCUUUAAAGCACUUAUUUCUCUGGGUUUCAGAUCAUCACAAGCUGAUUCCUCAUUGUUUGUUAAGGGUGGCUCUUCUUUAAUCCUAGUUUUGGUUUAUGUCGAUGACAUUAUUGUGACUGGGAACAAUAAUGCAGCCUGUCAAGCUCUUAUUCAGCAACUUAGUGAAAAAUUUCCUGUCAAAGACUUGGGCCCUUUGCAUUUUUUCCUUGGGUUAGAGGUUAAACGCACUGCUUCUGGUUUAUUCUUGUCUCAGACUAAAUAUGCUUGUGAUCUUCUCCAGCGAACUGAUUUUCUUGGUACCAAACCAUGUGCCACUCCCUUGGGGUCCUACAAAUUAGACAAUUCUGGAAUGUUGCUUUCUGAUCCUACUUUCUAUAGAUCUACCGUUGGUGCUCUUCAAUACUUGACAUGGGCACGGCCUGAUUUGUCCUUUGCUGUAAAUUUGGUAUGUCAGCAUCUUCACCAACCUCGCACUAAUCAUUUGGGUGCUGUAAAGAGAAUCCUUAGAUAUCUUAAAGGUUCUCUUGAUAUGGGAAUCUGUUUUCGCAAAGGCCCCCUUGUUAUGCAGGCCUAUUCUGAUGCAGAUUGGGCAGGAUGCCCCUUGGAUCGUCGGUCUACUAGUGGUUGAUGUGUUUUUCUCGGUUCAAAUUUAAUUUCUUGGUCUGCCAAGAAGCAACCUACAGUUUCUCGCAGUUCUACUGAAUCUGAGUACAGUGGUAUUGCCAUGACUGUUGCUGAACUUGUUUACAUUGCUAAGCUGUUUAAAGAUAUUAGUUUUCAGCUUCUUUCUGCUCCGUUACUUUGGUGUGAUAAUCAAUCUGCCCUUCAUUUGGCUUCUAAUCCUGUUUUUAGUGCUCGCACAAAACAUGUUGAGGUUGAUUAUCAUUUCAUCAGGGAGUUGGUUCAGCAUGGUAUUCUUCAUUUACGGUUUGUUGCCACUACUAAUCAGCUCGCAGAUAUCUUUACAAAGUCUCUUCCUUCUGCCCGACAUGCUUAUCUUCGUUCCAAGCUUACAGUGUGCAAUCCCUACUUCAGCUUGCGGGGGGCUAAAGAGAGUAAUUAGCUGAUUAGAUUAGUUUGUUAUUAGUUACUCUUGUAAGUAAUUAGUUAGAGCUGUUGUAACAGCCUGUACAGGUGGCUUUAUCUAUUGUAUAGAGUAGACAGGUGUUAUAUACUCCUGUAAUCUUUUCUCAAUUAAUUAAUGAGAAUCAUAAAUUCCUUUAUUCUUGACUUAAUUUCUUCCUAUAGCAUGCGUAUGUUUCACUAAGGCUAUAUUAUUCGUCUAUAUUAGCCGCCAAGUAUGGGAUUACAAAUCUUGGUGAUUCCUAUAGCAUGGUUUUGAUCACUUUUACAUACUAAAUUUUAGAUAGAUUGAUAUCUUCGACGUUUCAACAAGUACCUGCAAUUGUAUCAUAUACAUCAAUUAUUAGUGUUGCCUGAAAUUUAUAUUUGAUGAUGAAAAUUUAAUUCUGUGUAUUUGCUUCUGGGGUGCAUUGCCCUCCCCACCCCAGUUCACAAAGAAAAAAAUGACACUGUUUGUCUCUAGAAUUCGAUGAUGAAAAUUUUCCUCUUAGGCAGUCAAUAUUAGCCUUGGAAGUUCGCAUAAUUGCUUUUUGAAUGCUGGGUAUACCCAUAACUAAUCCUACGUUGAAGUCCAAUUCUAUACUUUAUAAGACUCAACAAACCCUAACCUAGGCUGAUUUCGAUUGAAUUCAAUCAAAAUCAAAUUAGAAAUACACAUAAAAUCUAGAUUCAAUUAAUACAAUUAAAUCAGACAUGCAAAUGGAAACCAAAUUCAAUCAAAUAUAAUCAAACAACAUAGAAUCUACAAAAAUAACCCCAAUAAAAUCAAGAUAAGCAAAUCUAGAAUCCAAAUCAACUCUAAAGCUAUAAGAAAACUCAUAAUCAAGCAUUGGGGGUUAGGGCUUUAGAGAAUCGCACCUUUGGAAUGUCACUGAGAAUUCAGCUUUGAAGCAAUAGGGCUCCAGCAAUAGUCUUCUCCCGAAAGAGGAAUUGGAGCUCUUGAUUAACGACACGCAGAGAGAGAAUCCAGAAAUUGUGAGAGAGAGAUGGAGAGAGAAGUGAAGAGAACAUUCAUGUAUGAAUGAAAAAUAAAACGAGGGAAAUUAUGUUUUUAGCGGAUUGCAAUUAUAUCGGAGGUUUUCGGCAAAAAAAAAAAAAUAUUUGAAUUACAAAUUACUACAUACUCAGUCGCACGCUGUAAUAUAUAUAUAUAUAUAUAACACGGCUUAUAUUCAAUCACGUCGUUAAAAGACACAAAAAUUACCUUUUUUAAGGCGCGUGUUUCAUAUGCUGUAAAUAUUAAUUAUUAACGGCACGCUUUACUAUCUUUGUAAGGCGUGCUUUGUCAUAUGCCGUAAAUGUCAAUUAUUAACGACUCACACAAAAAAUGUGCUGUAAAUAUCAAGUUGUAAAAGCUUCAAUUUCGUAGUGGUAUGAUAAUAAUUGCCUUUUUAAUACUGAUAUUAUAGUACUCUUAAACUGCUAUUCUGUUGUACAUUGUCUACCUGUUUAUUUGUUUGUUUUCAAUUAGUUUUUCGGCAAUCAAGUAUUCAUUUAUACAUGAUUGUCUACUUUCUUGUUAUUUUUUGUUUUGGCAGGAGAACCUUUUAUUACUGGUGAAACAGUACCAUAAGAUCCCAAGUACCAUGAGGAAUGGAUAAGAAAGAAUAGCCGAGCAAACGAGAGAAACAGACGCAAUGACAGACCUUGAAAUUAUGACAGAUCAAGGAACUUUGAUAGGAGGAGGGAAAAUAUGCAGAACCGAGAUUUUCAGAACAGGGGUCAGCCUCCUGUGCCUAAUCAAGCUGGGCAAAAUCCUGGGCCUAACAUGCCUGGACCUGCCAACUGUAACACCCCGACCCCGAAUUUUCCCAAAUUUUACCCUUAUUUAAUUAUUUAAUUAUUUAAGGGUAUUUUAGUCAUAUUUUUAACCGGAGAGAGUUUGGGACCGCGACUUAUAUUUUUGGAUAGGUCGUACUGAGACGAGUUCAUGGACACUGAGUGGGCUCGAAUCGGAGUUGUAACGAGAGAGAUAUGGUCAAAAGAAGCCCAGUGGCAUAAUCGUAAAUAUUUCGAAAUGGGAUUUUUUUAUAAAAUCAGAUUUUUUUCUCUCUCUCUCUCUCUCUCCCGCGCGACCUCUCUCUCUCCCGUUUGCUGCCGUCGCCUUCCAAGAGGCGCCGGCGCCGCCACAGGGCACCACCGGCCACGGGACUGGUGGCGUUCGAACCGCCGCCGUCCCUCCUUCCUUCCCCGACCGUUCCCCACCGGCGACGCGGCCUGUGCUGGCCGGAAAAUGCAGAAAAAACGCCGGGAAGUCGUCGAAACUUCAACGCCGUCGAUCUCCCUCCUCCGGCCACCAAUUCCGUCGAUCCAGGUAUGGAUUUUGAACCUCUCGAGCUGUUCUAGCUGCCUGUUGGUUGGGUUUUGAUCGAUUCGAUCUCUAGAUCACUCGAUUUUCGAAUUGAAAAUCGGCCGAAACUUCGGCCGCCGUGAUCGGCCAUUUUCGGCCACUUUUUGGGGUAGGUUCAAGAACAAAAGUGGCUCCAAAUAGGGUGUUAUACCUAGGGUCGGAGUUUGGAGCCGUGGUUUUGAGAUUUUCCAGCGAAGCGUUAUCGCUUUGGGCACCCACGCGCUGUCGGCGCGUGCGGUGGCGCGUGGGCACUGUAUAAAAAGUAGCGAUGUGUUCCGAUGAGAUCCUUAGGUUGUCACGAGUGCGUAGGAUUUUGCGGAUCUCAAUUCGGACGUCGUUUGACUAUCGAACGGAUAUUCGCAUAUUGCGCGUUAUCCGGGUUCGAUAGGUUGGGACCGUUGGAUGGUCCCAAAUUUAAUAUAUAUUGAUUUAGGUAUUUCUAGGAUCGUGUAGGAAUUCACGGAUCUUGAAUCGGAGCCCGGAUGUUCCGAAUAAUAAUUUUAAGUUUAUAUUUUAUAUUAACCGUCAGAUCGUGCGAUCGUGAGCAAUCCGACCGUCCGAUCUGAACCAAACUUGCAGGACAAGUGUCCUAUACCUGGUAGAACCCAUAGGGACUUCCGGAUCGGAAAUUGGAGGUCGUGGGUUUUGCAGGUCCGGUUGACCAGGGUUAGAGUAGUUUGACCCUUGGUUGACCGUGAGUCUCCCGGAGUAAUCUCACCUUUCUAGGGGGGAUUAUCGGGUGCUAGACCAUUGUGGAGGGUUACACAAUAUAAGAAUUAAUUUAUAUAAUUGUGGAGGGUCACAUAAUCUCUCCCGUUUAGAAUGUCAGUUUGGAGUGCUAUACGCACUACUUUAGGUACCUCCCCGGAUGUUGGAUUCACUACAUGCACCACCAAGUGAAAGUUAGGUCCCACGUGGCGUAGGUUAUCCGGCGUUGGGACAGACCCCAUACGUGGCGUUGGUUGUACCGGCGUAUGGGGAGAUUCGUAAUAUGAUGUUCAGGUCUCACGUGGCGUAGGUUAUCCGGCGUUGAGACAGGCCCCGUACGUGGCGUUGGUUGUACCGGCGUACGGGGAGAUUAUGUGAUAUUGUGUAAGGUCGCACGUGGCGUAGGUUAUCCGGCGUGUCGACAGACCCCAUACGUGGCGUUGGUUGUACCGGCGUAUGGGGAGAUUUGUGAUAUGAUAUUGAGGUCCCGCGUGGUGUAGGUUAUCCGGCGUUGGGACAGGCCCCAUACGUGGCGUUGGUUGUACCGGCAUAUGGGGAGGUAUUAUGAUAGUAUGGCAUGGUCGCACGUGGCGUAGGUUAUCCGGCGUGUUGACAGGCCCCAUACGUGGCGUUGGUUGUACCGGCGUAUGGGGAGAAUAUGCGAAAUACAGAAAAAUGAAAUAAGGUAUCGCCCAAGUGUGGGAUUGGGUUUUAGGGAAGAACUACGUGUGGCUUGAUCCCUCAAGGAGGGUACGUAGGCAGCCUAAGGUUAUUAGGUGCAGCCGCAGACUAAAUGUGAGUCAUACUUGGUAUUUGAAUGGUCUGGUAGUUGAAUAGGAAUUAUUGAAAGGCCGAAGGCCAUUUGUGUGAAUUGCAUGAAAUUAUAUUGUGCAUGCUGCCAUUUGGGAAUAUUAAAUGCGUUUUUAUGCAGGUUGAAAUUUUGGGAAAUGUCCAAAUUAUAGGGGAGACUCCGUCGAAAUUUCGGCAGGAAGUCUCGGUUUUUAGUGAGUGGGCCUGACAUCGGGGUGAUGUCAGGAGUUCCAAAGGGUUCGUCUCAGAUUUUGAGAAAAUUCGGGGCGGGUCCUUAAACCAACAACAUGAGGACUCCCAACAAUAUGGGCCCCUUGCCCCCCAACGCGGGUCCAAUGCCUCCCCACAACACGAGGGGGCUAGAAUGCAGAGGUUAUUAUGAGGAGGUUAUGUGCGGAAUGAUAACAACCAUCAGUUUUAAAUGAACGGUUCAGAUUUAAGUAGGAAGUUUUUUUACAAUCGGGUUAAAAUUACCCAUCACAAAAUGAGCAACCCGGAACUUCUCUCUCAUAUCUCCUAUUUUCUUUGAAACAGAGGUCCAAAGUCCUACGUCUGAAACUUCCUCUGGAGACAAACAAGAGCUGCCCCUUUCCAACUUCCAGAAGCCGAAUUUGCUGCUCCAAAAAGAAAAAAAAACGAAGACACUCAGCUGUGGAGGACGUUGCUGAAGAAGAAGGAACAAGGGUUGAAACCCACAACUCAAUUCUUUCACUGGUAUGUGAUUUUUCAGCCCUAUUGCAAACCCUUUUAUUCAAAAAAUAUUCUGUUUUGUUAAACCUCUGUGAUUAAUGUUGCAGAAAAUGGUUCAUCAUUACCCAUUACAUCAACUAUAACCUAAGAUCUCUCUUAUUCUGUAACCUCUUCCUCUUCUCCCUAGUCUCUUUCUCUUCCUUCUUCAAACCUCACAGAAAAUCCAUUUCCAUCGUAGAAUCUCGCUUAAUUCAAUUUUCACUUAGUUAUAUCUUCAAACUAAGAGCUAAUUUGAAUCUUAAGGUUGAACCCCAAAUUCAUAAUCGAACCCUAGCCAAGGUGCGACUCGCCACCUCCGUCGUCGGCCUCCAAAACGAAGCCAUAAUCGUGACUCUCCACCUUCGUCGUCGACUUCCACCACAAACCUCAUCUUCGAUCUUCACUGUGGUGAGUCCUAAUAUUGGUUUUACUUUUCUUUUUUUUUUUUGUUUGGGUUUCUGUUAUUGAUUGAGAUUAUUGGGUGAUUACUUUCACUAUUUUGAAUGAGACAUUAACGGGUUUCUGUUGUGGUUUGUUUGUUGUUUCUGUGAUUGAAUGAAAUUUACCAACUAUUUCCUGUGGUUGUCAAGCUCUUGGACUUGGAUACACUGUUUUGUGCUUAUGAUUUGUCUAUGAAAUCAUGCAUACAUUGUUUUGUGAUUAAGGCUUGGACUUGCAGACCUCCUUGAAAGUGGUGUAUUCACUCUUUUGUGAUUGUGAUUUGUUUGUGAAAUCACUUAGGUGAUAUAUCAAAUUAGGACUUCUGGCUUUUCUGAGCAACCUGUAAGAAUACAUAUAAAACUCAUAGAUGCUCUCUGAAAUAACAGUAAUGUAUGUUCUAACCUUUGAAACCAGUAGCACCAGCAACAAAUGCAAGAUUCUCAUUGUUUACUUCUUUUGAAUGUGAUUGGAGAGUUUGUAAGUUUUAUGAGAAUGCCAAUAUUUUAACAUAUUUUUGAUACUGUAAAGUUGGCAUAUGUUGGAUCUUUAUUUUCUCUAUUGUUUUGGUGCAGUCUACAAUCCUCAAGGUUGGUAUCGUGCCAAGGUUGUGUUGGUGCCGUGAAACGGGUUCUUGGAAAGCUUGAAGGUUUGUUGAUAACUCUUGCAUUUAUCUAGUUCCAUUGUCUUGCUCUUCUUUUUCUCUGAGACUAUGCUUCUUUAACUGUUUGAACAAUGCCAAAUGCACUAUUGAUGAUUUCCUAAUUUGUAUUUUUGUUCGUCUGCCAAGACACACAUUCACUUCACCCAUGUUUAUUACUUUUGAAUUGCAAUUGAGUGUAUGAAAUUGUGUGCAUGAAUAUGAACUUUAAUUUUACAAUGGUACUGUCUUGUGAAAGUUUGCCAUAUGAAGAAUUGGGUCAUUUAGAAAAGCCAACAAUCUAUAUGAAUUUCAGCAUUGGUUUUUGUUUUGAAAUUGGUUUUAGUUGUGAUUGAAUGUUAUGUUUUUGUUUCCACUGUGAUUGAAUGAUUUGCUUCUAAUAUGCAUUUUUGAUCCAUUUUAUACAGAUGGAAGAUUGUCUUGUUUCAAUUGGCGGCGUUCUUUUGGGUAGGAAAUUGCUAACUUUCAGCUUAAAUUCGGGUCUAAGAGGACAUGUCUUGGAAUUUUUCUUAUACAUAUGAAUUGUGUUAAAAUUCUAGACCAAGAGGAGACGAAAUUUUUUUGGAAUUUUUUGGAAUUUUUCUUAUACAUAUGUAUAUAAUGUGCUCUCUUCAAUUAAUAAUAUAAAUAAAAGUAUUUUUCCAUUGCAUACACUUGCAAAUAUAUACAAACAACAUAUUCAAGACAGAAAUUUCUCAAGUAAAUUAAACUCAAUUUCAUUCCAUGAGGACUAAAUAAUUACAUGGUCUGUCUGACACACAAAUAGUUCCUUAAUUACAUGUUUUUUUUCCUUAUAACUAUAGUACACUUCCCGUAUAUCUAUUUUUAAAAGUAUGUUGGAAUAAAUUUAUAGAGGGAGUAUGAAGUUUGUGUAUUGCCAUUGUAUAGCCUUUUAUUGCUUGUGUAUUGCUACUGUAUUGCCAUCGUAUAGCCUUUUAUUGCCUGUGUAUUGCCCCCGUAUAUCNNNNNNNNNNNNNNNNNNNNNNNNNNNNNNNNNNNNNNNNNNNNNNNNNNNNNNNNNNNNNNNNNNNNNNNNNNNNNNNNNNNNNNNNNNNNNNNNNNNNNNNNNNNNNNNNNNNNNNNNNNNNNNNUUGCUAUCAAUCUAUAUGAAUUUCAGCAUUGGUUUUUGUUUUGAAAUUGGUUUUAGUUGUGAUUGAAUGUUAUGUUUUUGUUUCCACUGUGAUUGAAUGAUUUGCUUCUAAUAUGCAUUUUUGAUCCAUUUUAUACAGAUGGAAGAUUGUCUUGUUUCAAUUGGCGGCGUUCUUUUGGGUAGGAAAUUGCUAACUUUCAGCUUAAAUUCGGGUCUAAGAGGACAUGUCUUGGAAUUUUUCUUAUACAUAUGAAUUGUGUUAAAAUUCUAGACCAAGAGGAGACGAAAUUUUUUUGGAAUUUUUUGGAAUUUUUCUUAUACAUAUGUAUAUAAUGUGCUCUCUUCAAUUAAUAAUAUAAAUAAAAGUAUUUUUCCAUUGCAUACACUUGCAAAUAUAUACAAACAACAUAUUCAAGACAGAAAUUUCUCAAGUAAAUUAAACUCAAUUUCAUUCCAUGAGGACUAAAUAAUUACAUGGUCUGUCUGACACACAAAUAGUUCCUUAAUUACAUGUUUUUUUUCCUUAUAACUAUAGUACACUUCUUGCAACAGAAUGGAAUGUUGUCCCACCCCAAAUUGAUGAAGAUUCUCAAUGACAACAAUCUUCUAGAAGCCAACAAUAAUCUUGCUCCAACUGUUAUGAAAAAAAAAAUGUCAAUUAUCUCAAGACUUAAGAGUUAGGGUUUUAAAUCGCUAGAGACCAAGCUUGUGGGAUAUGGGCCGUGACAUGAUCACGUACUCUACCAAUUGUUGCUUCACCUUCCCAAAUUCAUCCAUCAUCUUCCUCUACAACAGAAACAAAAUAAAGCAAAAUCAAUAUGUACAUAUAUAAAUAUGUAUAUACAGAGUAAUACAAAAGACAAAUUGGUACUAAUGAGGUAGAUCUUUGAUAUGCUCUAUUGGAACAAUCACUUUCCUUUUAUUGCUAUAUAUGCAGAUGCGCAAAAGCACAAACAAGCCCAAUUUAAAAUCUCCUACUUACGUAUCAAGAAAAGACUCAAAGCAGACUAAGUUUCUUAUAAAAAUAGAGUUCAUUAUUUUUCGUCUGUGCUUCAUUCGUAACUUAUAACUCACAUGGUAUCCAAAAUUUCACGCAGUGCAUCAAAACUCAAUCAAGUUAACUCUGGAACAAUGAGAGAACAACAAUAUUAAUCAAUGAAAGAAUUAUGAAAGAGGCUAUCAUUGAUCAACAACAUUAACUCCAGAACAUAGACACCACAGAGGUAUGCAGUACAAUUUACUUUCAUUCAAUUUCUACACAAAAAUAAUCUUUUAGAUUGAUAUAGUCAUUCAUUGCAAACUGAAAUUUCACAACCAUGAGAAUAAUGCCAAGAGGAAGAGUAUCAUAUCACCUCAAAAUUGGAAAACAUCUAAUGGACGAGGAAAAGCAAACCUACCAAGCACAAGACGAAAAGCCUUACUGCUCAAGCUUGAUCAGUGCAUAUCUACAUGGGCGUUAACCCCCGUAUGAUCAUAUUGCUUAUUUUUUCUAUUCUUGGCAUUGGCUUUGCACCAUUUAUGUUUUCACAGUACAUGAAUUGUUCCAAAUUAAAAACUUCAAACCGCAGGUCCUAAUUAUAGGCAGUAAAUUAUGACUUAAUAAAAAAUAGUCAUUGGAGUUGGAUCUGGGAAGCUGAAAGCAUCACAUGGCUCAAAGAAACCAAAUCAGGGGACCACGUACAACAGGGGCUGUUGUGCUAGCUAGUACUGCAGGGCAGGGUAGGGCAGGGCAAGGCAGGGCAGGGCAUGGCAAGGGACAUUUGGAUGCAAAGGCUAGAGAUAUAGACCCUUUCUUUUAGGUAAAUGAGGAAGACGAAGCAGCAGCAAAACCUGGCCAUGUGAAGUAGCAGCAUCAGACCCUUUCUAUGUUUCUUUUGUUUGUUCACAUACUUUUUUGCCAUAUCAUGGCCCUUAGAAUUCCUGCAAAAUAAUAACAUGAACUUUAUUUCUCAAUUUCACAAUGACACAAAACAGUGUAGUAUUAACUUGUUCACAGCACAAGUUAAAUGGCGAUGUCGAAAUGAAAGAAACUCAAGGCAUGACACAAAAGUUGAAAAAUAAGAAAAUAAAUCUAAUAGAAUUCCAAAUAUCAAAUGACACAACCAAGUAUCCAUUCACUAUAAACUGACAUAAUAUGGCACUUGUGUAAGUCUUCAUGUAAAAACAGGGACAUUUCUCAAGCAUUGUUAAAAGGUAAUUAAACUAAUGUCAAUGGCGAUCUAACAAAACCAUUAUGCACUGUAAAGACAUCUUCGUAAACAAAUUAUAAUAAAACUCACAUGUGCUUCCUUCCAUUUAGAUGGGUUUAUUGGGUCCUCCUAGAAGUUCACCUUUAAGUAUAUACCAUGAGAAUUGUCCCAAUUGGUUUGUAUCUCAAAGAAAACCAUAGUGCGCCUCAUUAAGGUGAUUCAUCGAACACCUACAGGCCAUUUUUUCAUGCACUCAUCAACUCAGCCUAACCAAACAAAUAGAACCAUAUAUUCAGAACAAGCAAAUAAGCAUGAUAAAUAAAACGAUGUAGCAAGAAUUUGGAUUUUGAGCAACUUUCUAGACCACUAUAUGAAAUUGAAACAAUCAGAAGAAAACCCAAAUAACAUAUGGGUAUGAAAAUAAAGGCGAAAAGUUGAACUGGGUACCUGGGACGUCAUCUCUAGGUAUAUGGAUUUCAGGAAUGCUGAAGAAAUUGAGAAAUUUAUUGAACCGGAGGGGAAGAACGGCGGUUGAAAUAGGUGACAGAGAGUGAGAGAUGGAGGUGUUGAACAGCGGCCGAAAGAGAGAGAGAGUGAGGUUGUCGUUGCUGAUGUGGGUUCUGAGGAGGUGACAGUUGCCGUCGCCGAUGUGGGUGAAAGGGAGAGAGAAAACAGACGAGAGAAGAGGUGAGUGAGGCAACAGAGAGAAGAAUAAUAAAAGAGAGAAGAAAAAUAAAAGAAAGAGGGAGACAACCGAGAGAAAAGAGAAAAACUAAUUAAAAUAAGAGAGAAAGAGAGAGAGAAGAAGGUAGACAUUGAGUACUUCGAUUGUGAAUAGCAUUGCUCAACGGGUAAUGCCAACCCGGUUGUAGCAUAAAGCGGAUACUAAUGUUAGCCAUUUGAUCAAUCUAAUGGCCUAGUUAUCAUUCCGCACAUAACCUCCUCACAAUAACCUCUGCAUUCUAGCAGCUCCCCUCACGACAUGGGUCCAAACUACAGUAAUGUGCAGCAGCCAAACAACUGGAGUGGUGGGCAGCCCAACAACAAUAACAAUCAAAGUUGGCCUCUUACAUGCUUGCCCGACAACAAUAGUAUUUGUACAUCUUUUUCACCGAGAAAGUGAAAUACGUUUCAUAUUUGGAAGUUAGAAAAUCUUGUGUUUAUAAGGAGUUGGACUAUUUCUCUAGGGCUCGUCAAUGGGCCGUGCCGGGCUAACCCGGCACAAAUUUAAUGAGCUUGAGCCGGACCGGGCCGGGCUUUAAAGAGGAGAGGAAAAAAUAUUGGGCCGGACCGGGGCCGGGUUUUUUAGAAAAUUCAAAGCCCAAGCCCGACCCAUGAGCCAAGCUUAAGAAAGCCCAUAUGGUCGGGCCCAACUAAACGCAACGGGCCAGGCCUAAACGGGCCCUCCUUCAUUAAAAAAAAAAUCAUAAACUUAAUCAUAAAGGCAUUUUAGUUCAAAUUUGAGAUUAAACUUACUUAAUUCCAAUAUUUUCACUUCAACAAAUCUGUAUUUAGCUUAAACAAAAAAUUUGUACUGUAUUAGCUAUAGUCUAUAAACAUUUUGGGAUAUUAAAUCUUGUCUUAAUGCACAGUUAGGUCAUAGUGGGAUUCUCAUGAGUUCGUCACUCAUAUGUAUGGGGUUUCCUUUUACCAAUUGCUGAUGCUGUGUAAAAAUGUACUUCGGAUUAUUGUCUGAGCUAACAGAGAAGUUAUGCCGGGUCAGUUUCGAAUACCCAACCCCGCCACGCGACAAAAGGAACCAAUGCUAUUUCAUAUUUGAUUGGUAGAAGUGCAUAACUUCUCCACAUACGGGAGUGAUCAAUUCAAUACAUGUCCAAUGUUUUAGGUGGCUUCGAUAAGCGCUUGAAAGAAGAUGCUGAGUACUUGAAGGAGCUCAGAAGUUUAGCAGAAAAGGAAGGAGUGUCCAAUCAGGUUAACUUCCAUCACAUCUUGCUCAACAGCUGACAGAUUCAUUCUCUACAAAAAUAUUUGGUUGGCAUUUGAAUCAAUACCUUGUUGACGUUGCUGGGAUGAAAGAAGGCUGAAGACUGCAUGACCUUGUAGUAUGUUGAUGCUCAAAAUGGUUCAGCCAAGAUUGAGUCCAACUUAGUGAUGAGGUGUGAUGGAUGAUGGAUGAAGGUGAGGACCUUCACCAAGUGUGUGAGGAUUUGGGAAAACGAUAAACAUAUAAAAGACAAGAUAUACGUGGUUCACCCGAAUGAUGGGCUACGUCCACGGAGAAGGGUGUUCUCAUUAUGAUAAUGUUUGUUUACAUUUGUACAAGGGGAUUAGACCCAAAUAUAAAGAUAACAAGUGAGAAGCCCAGUCUAGUGAUCUAGAAGAGAGAGUCCAAGCCUAAGGGUCUAGAUCCAAGACCCGGAUCCUCUUCUAAGGAAAGAGUAGUCUUCUUUUAUAGGUGAGGGGGAGUCUUCAUCUCUUGUAGUUUUCCGAUGUGGGACUCCUCUUGCUUUGCUUAGAGUUGUGAUUUGUGGUGAUGUGUCUUUGGCUAAGGUGAUGACCUCUCAAAGCAUGGCACUCGAAUGAUCUAGCCUAACUAGUUGCUCGGUCAGUUAUGGUACAAACAGUAGUCCCCUAAGUUCUCAAGUAAGAAGAUACUUCUUGGUUGGGGACUUGUAAUUUUAAGUGCACUAGCCGAGCAACACCAUAGUUCAUCUUCCAAGCUGUAUAGUGCACUACCCAUAGUCCCCCAAGUCCCCGGGUAAGAAGGACAUCUGGAAGGGAGAGAACUUGGCACGAGGGUGCCGAAGGUGAAGGGGUUGCCGAAGGGACAAAGUUGCAUGUCUCAGGGUAAUGUGGUUGGGCACGAGGGUGCCGAAGGCAUAUGAAUUGCAUGUGUCAAGGCGAUGGGCUUAGGCACGAGGGUGCUGAAGGUGACACUAAGCUUGCAUGUUUGCAAGGCAAUGUGUUUAGGCACGGGGGUGCCAAAGACAAAGAGAAUGCCGAAGGAGACAUGAAGCUUGCAUGUCAUAAGGCAAUGUGGCUGGGCACGAGGGUGCUGAAGGCACAAAGCUUGCAUGUUGCAAGGCGAUGUGGCCUAGGCACAAGGGUGCCAAAGGCAUAAGACUUGCAUGUUGCAAGACAAUGGAGCUAGGCACGGGGGUGCCGAAGGCAAAGGGGAUGCCGAAGGCACAAAGCUUGCAUGUCGCAAGGCAAUGUGCCUAGGCACGAGGGUGCCGAAGGCAUAAGAAUUGCAUGUCGCAAGGUGAUGGGCCUAGGCACGAGGGUGCCGAAGGCAUAAUACUUACAUGUUGCAAGACAAUAGAGCUAGGCACGGGGGUGCCGAAGGCAAAGGAGAUGCCGAAGGCACAAAGCUUGCAUGUCGCAAGGCAAUGUGCCUAGGCACGAGGGUGCCGAAGGCAUAAGAAUUGCAUGUCGCAAGGUGAUGGGCCUAGGCACGAGGGUGCCGAAGGCAUAAGACUUGCAUGUUGCAAGACAAUAGAGCUAGGCACGGGGGUGCCGAAGGCAAAGGGGAUGCCGAAGGCACAAAGCUUGCAUGUCGCAAGGCAAUGUGCCUAGGCACGAGGGUGCCGAAGGCAUAAGAAUUGCAUGUCGCAAGGUGAUGGGCCUAGGCACGAGGGUGCCGAAGGCAUAAGACUUGCAUGUUGCAAGACAAUAGAGCUAGGCACGGGGGUGCCGAAGGCAAAGGGGAUGCCGAAGGCACAAAGCUUGCAUGUCGCAAGGCAAUGUGCCUAGGCACGAGGGUGCCGAAGGCAUUACAAAGCUUGCAUGUUUGCAAGGCAAUGUAGCGAGGCUUGGAAGUGCCGAAUGCAAAAGGGGAUGUCGAAGGCAUGAAGGUGCUGAAGGGAAGAAAUGCAUAUGUGCAAAUAAUAAUAAUAAUAAUAAUAGCUUUUUUUUUUUUUGGGAGCUGGGUCCGUAGGUUUUUUUUUUUUUUUUUUUUUUUGGGAGCUCGGGAGCUAGACCUUCGGCAGGCUGAGGCUGUUGAAAAUUUUGGGGGCUCUCCUCUCCUUCGAUGGUCCUUGCCGUUCGGCAAGGUCCUAGCCUUUUUUUUUUUUCGAGGCCGAGCCUUUGCCUUUGUGGGUUUGUUGGUGUUUCUUUCAUGGCCCUUGCCGUUCGGCAAGGGACCAAAGUGGUUUUGGCUAACGAGUUUGAGAGGGUUGGACCCGAGAUGGGCCUUGGCCAAAUGAGAAAAGAAUAGGAGCUAGGGUUUUGCAUUGUGAGAGAGGGAUAAAUAAAAAUUCACUGCCCCUGCCGUUCGGCAUGAAAUAGCUUAUUUCCUUCGGACCUAGGCUCUUAUUUCCUUCGGCAAGGGUGUCGGGUGCCGAGGCGAGGCUGGGCUGUGCCGUGAGUUUUGGGGGCUCCUGUCGAUCGGCAGGGGCGGUUGCGAAGAUGCUGGUCCGUCAGCAGUCGGGCACGUCCCUGAGGUUGCGGUAGGAGGGUGAAGCCGGGCUGCGUGGAUAUUUUGGCCAGACCUGGAGUUGCUACAACAGUCCUUGUGGGUGGGCGCUAGACGGCUCGACAUCAGUCCCUGCCGAACGGUAGGGUGGGCGUGACUUUUUGGUGAAGGGUUCGUGAUCUGAAGGGGGGUUACCUGUUCGUGUUUUGUGAGGGCCAGCAGCGGUGAUUUGGGAAGAGCUAGAUCUCUCUAUCUUCGGCAAGGCAAGGAAGGUGACCGAGCCUUCUUGUCUUCGGCAAGUCCGAUAAGGUUUAAUUUGGAGCUGGGCUGCACGAGCUGGCGAUUCGGUGUGGGUAUUUUCGUGAUCCCAACAAAUUUUGUGGGCCUUGCCGUUCGGCAAGGCCAGCUUGUGAGCUCGAGUUGCCCAUAUUUGUUUUUCUUAAUCCUUGCCGUUCGGCAAGGGCUUAUUUGGACUUGAACCCAUGUUUGAUGGGUUGUUGAAUUCCGGUGUAUACGUACUUGUUUGAUGUUUGCAGCAGGGUCCUUGGCAAGGCAAAAACAGGAGUUGAGGCUUCGGUGACCUUGGCUGGGGCUGAGGUGAGUAGUUUUCGGAGCUUUCAGCAACUUCCGCGUGGGCCUUGCCGUUCGGCAAGGCCUUCUGAAAUUCCUUUGUGCUUUUGUUUUUUGUCUUCGGCAAGUGGGCUGAUCCCAUGGGGGUGUGCAGAUUUGGAAGCCGGGCUGCGUGGGUCACGGCGGCUUGAUCUUGUUCUGAAAGUUAUCGGGGCUUGCGCAAGAGUGAUUAGCUUGGGAAGGGUCAGUGGAGCUGGGCUCAUUGAUUUUCGGCAAGAGGCGGACUGGUGGUGGCAGAUUCAGAAUCCGUGAGGCUGGGCCCUUUCGUUGGUGGAGUGCUUCUAGGCUUCGUGAGUUCGUAGUCUUGGUGGGCCUCCCAUUUUUUGUGCUCAACCCUUGUCGUUCGACAAGGGUGUGUUGAGCAAUUCUCUUUGUGGCGUUAUGUUUGUGAGGGCUGGCUGCGAGUUGCAGGUUGCUAGGGUAGGUCCAGCUAAGUACGGGUUUUUACUCGGCUGAACCCUUCCGUUUGGCAAGGGUGUCUUGAGCAAAUGGGUGUGCCAUUUGGUGUUCUGACUUUUCAUCCCAUAUUGGGACCUGGGCUUGUUUUAUCAGCAUAGUGCCGAUCGGCAAGAAGUGUUUGGCAAGAUCUCGCUCGGGAGGGUGGUUACGGCUUUGAGCUGAAGCAUGGGUAAGUCACCGACUGAUGGCAAAUGAGCUGGGCCUUUGUGGGUCGUCAGAGCUGGGCCAUUGAAGAUUCGGCAAGGCUUUGAAAGUGACGUGCCUAGGAUCCUGCUGUUCCGCAAAAAUCUUGAGAACUUGGCUGUAGCUUUUGGGUACCGACGGAGAGGACCAAGGAAUUGGAGCUGACGAUUUGCAAAAGGCUGGGCUUCGGUAAUGAGGCUGCAUAGUCGGCAAUGUGGCUGUACAAUCGGGAGGAGGCCGUGCAUGCGCGCGCUCUUUCGUAGCUUUCCGCAUAGCCCUUCGGCAUGACUCUAAAGCUGGGUUCGAUCUUUGUGAAGGUGGCCUUGGGAAAGGGAGCCACGAGCACCCUUGUAUCCCCUCGGCGAUGAUUUCGUGAGCUAUCCUCGGAGUCGAGAUCCACAGCCUGGAGUCUAGCAGUUUGGAGGAGAUUUGUCUCAAGCUUUGGACACUUGGGCAUUGUAGGCUUCGGCAAGGGCAGUGGCAUGAUUUUGCUGCUGUAAAGCUUGGGUAUAUACUUGCAAGGAGUUACAACCCUUGCUGCUCAGUGCCUUCUGCAAGCGGGGUGAGCAGCAAAGGUCUAUGCAUGGCAAAGCAAGGUGGUGGUUCAUUCGGCAAGGUGACCAAGUCCUCACGGCCUCGGCAAGGUGAGGUUCAAUUGGAGGGAUGUGCUCGUGAGUUCUCCUUGCAAUCUUUGGUUGUUCCCAAUGCUUGAUUAAAAAUUGUUGGUAUAGAGUUCCGAACUGUAGCCCAUGAAAGAGUAUAUGGAUUAAAAAUUUCUGGAGCAUAUGGUUGCUGUUUGGAGGAUGGGGUGCCGUUUGGCUUGGCCAUUUGAAUUGCUUCAGACUUUCGAAUAUACUAAAAUAUAAGAUAGGAGUUUGGCAUUUGCGGCUAGUUGUCUUCAAUCAUGCAAACGAUAAUAACCAUGUAAGCCAUGCAAACAAUAAUAACCAUGCAAGCCAUGCAAGAAAUAAUAACCACGUGGGCUUCCCAUUGGAUUGAAAUGGUGGUUGGCCCCCUUAGCCCUGCAAAGUGAUGCUGUCGGUGAAUUGGAAUAUUUGGCAUUUGCCAAAUUGGGGCAUCUUCAAAGUGGCCCGGACAGCUAUUAUUCAUUGCGAUAUUCAUGAACCAUAUUGUUGAAUAUGUAAGAAGAGAAAUCUUAUCUUGUGGUGAGGAUGCACGUGGGCAUCCACAGAGUGGAGUAAUUUUUCCUUGGCCGUGCGCAAGCCAUGCAUGGUGAUGAUAUGCUUGGUGCACUUGGGAUAUUUGGCCACCCAUAAAUUGAGACUCUUUCAACGUGAUUGAAAGGUGGUUCCUUGGGCUGAAAUGGUGGCUUGGCCAUGCAAGCCAUGCAAGGCGAGGUGUCGAAGGCCUCGCUCAUAUCAGAGAGGUCUGCAGAAGGCAUCGUAUGCACCACAUGAUGAUGAGGUGCCGAAGGAUGGCGGGGUGCCGAAGGAAACGCGCCGAAUGAUGGAGGGGUGCCGAAUGAUGAAGCUUGUAGAACAAGCUCAAGUCCCCUAUUUUUACUCUUCAAAGAAGUGCUGAACGACACUUUGAAUUGAGAUGUUGGUUUGGCUAUGCAAGCCGUGCAAAAUGAUAGCCACAUUCUGAUCGGCUUUUCCUUGAAAUAUCAUCUUCUGCAAUUUGUUGCCUUAGCAUUCAUUGUUGCUCCAGUAAGAUAUUGCCGAACGGCAACUUAGGUGAUGUUGAUUGUGUGGGUGUCGAGGGGCAUUGAAGAAGGGGAGAACGACAGAAGCCUUUUGUGUCGAUUCCCACAGACGGCGCCAAACUGUUGAUGCUCAAAAUGGUUCAGCCAAGAUUGAGUCCAACUUAGUGAUGAGGUGUGAUGGAUGAUGGAUGAAGGUGAGGACCUUCACCAAGUGUGUGAGGAUUUGGGAAAACGAUAAACAUAUAAAAGACAAGAUAUACGUGGUUCACCCGAAUGAUGGGCUACGUCCACGGAGAAGGGUGUUCUCAUUAUGAUAAUGUUUGUUUACAUUUGUACAAGGGGAUUAGACCCAAAUAUAAAGAUAACAAGUGAGAAGCCCAGUCUAGUGAUCUAGAAGAGAGAGUCCAAGCCUAAGGGUCUAGAUCCAAGACCCGGAUCCUCUUCUAAGGAAAGAGUAGUCUUCUUUUAUAGGUGAGGGGGAGUCUUCAUCUCUUGUAGUUUUCCGAUGUGGGACUCCUCUUGCUUUGCUUAGAGUUGUGAUUUGUGGUGAUGUGUCUUUGGCUAAGGUGAUGACCUCUCAAAGCAUGGCACUCGAAUGAUCUAGCCUAACUAGUUGCUCGGUCAGUUAUGGUACAAACAUAGUAUAAGUUGUUCAAUUUAAUCGCCUAGACUUAAAUAAAAUUUUGUUGCUUUUAAUAUAUCCAUGAAUUACUCUUCAGUGUGUGAUCUUUUAUGCUUUUUUCUUUUACUCCAUUUUCAAUAGUUGAGAUUAAAUAUUACAUGGCAAGUAGUUUUAAUUUUUCUCUCUCAUAAAAAUAAAAGAAAAAUUUUCUCUUUCCAACCUUUUUGCUGGGUAAUCUUCCUACCUCUUUAAUCUCAAAUAUUUAUUAGGGUCAAAUAAAUAAAAAAAUCUCACCAAAAACUAAGGGGGGUGUAUUCAAUUAAGAUUUUCUCCCACGUUCGCACGCCUUCGUUGGGAAGAAAGCUUUGCUCUAGGUACAUAUUUCAAUUUUCGAUUUUCUUUAUCAGAUUGGGUUUAUUUUUAUUUUAUUUUUUGUUGGAAUUAAACUAGGAUCUCUAGGUUAGGAAUUUAAAGAAUUAAUAGUUUCCAAGGGGAUUAAGUUUAUUUCUUAGGUAUCUGUGGGAGCAAAUAUUUUCGUCUCCAAUCACAGCACGCCACGUGGAAAAGAAGAUUAUCUCUUAAAUUAAUUAAUUGAACCAGUUUAUCUGGCUAAUUAAUUAAUUGGGAUAAAUAUCUUAAUUAACGUGAUAUUAUCUUUAUUUAAAGAGAUAAUAUCAUUAAUUCAGAUAUUAUCCUAAUAAAGAGAAGAUAAUAUCAUUUAAUUCAUAUAUUAUCUUCUUAAGAGAUAAUAUCAUUAAUUCAGAUAUUAUCAAGUCUGACUCGAUCCCUAUGAAACCCUAGCCCCUAGGCUCCUAUAAAUAGACGACCUCAUUCAUCAUUCAAGGUACUUCAAAAAACCUAUUCCUUAUACCCGAUAAAAAUACCCAAAGCUCUCUCUCCACUCUCCAUAUUUUCUCCACACGGCUCCGGCCACACGGCUCCGGCCACCCGGUUUACACCCUACAUACAACUCCGUACCCUUUGCUUAGCUAUUGUUUUUCUACAAACAUUUGAACUAACUUAGGCAUCGGAGGGCCUUUGGCCAACACCCCGGGUGUGGUCUAUUUACUCAAAUCUUUUUUACAGGAAUCGAGGAAGAGAGAGAAGGAAGAUCGAAGGUUAAAGGAUCUAGAAGCGAAUAUUCUCCGGUGAGAUUAUUUGCACAAACAGUAUCUAUGAUUAAGCUAUUCAUUUCAAUUUGUUUCAAAUUGUUGGUAGGAUUUCUUAUUUUACGGGUUUGAAAAUGAGGUUUUAAUCUUCUCAUAUAUGAAAAUUUUGACUAUUACUGUUUUUUUUUCCCCCGAUUUAUAGGGACAGAAUACAAGGAGAAAAUUUGAUGCCACACCACUUCUUUAACCUCCUCCCUCUUUGGGGUUGGUUCUAGAAAUUGAUGGAUUACCUGUGGAUUUACACAAGUUCAUUGCAAAGUCCAUCCAUUGAUUUUUUGCUUUUUUUUUUAACUGAACGCAGAGAAUGCCAGCUGAAAUCAUUUAAGUGGGCAUCUACAAUAUUUUACUAUCAUGAAACACUCAUAAACAACGGAUUACGAACAAUUUCGAAACACAUUAUGUAUCAAAUAGUACGUAAACAUUCAUGAUACAAGAUAUCAUAAUCCAAAAAGCAUAUGUUCAUAUAAUUUGUCUAUGUAAUGCCACAUAUACAGAGAUAACAAGACCAAUGAUCACCAUUGCAACAAGAGCUUCCCCCUGAUGAACAUAACAGACUAUUCCUGAUACAAGACAACAUCAAAGAUACAAAAAAAAAAAAAACAUAAUAGACCAUUAGAUAUGCACUGAGAGUUGGAGGAAAUAUCUUGUGUGCGCUCCAACAUUUUGAUGAGAGAAAGAGAGAGAGAGGCGUGCGAAUGUGGGAUUGUAGUUUGGGUAUUUAGUUUUUGGUGAGAUUCUUUAUUUAUUAGACCCUAAUAAAUAUUUGAGAUUAAAAAGGCCAGACAGAUUACCCAGCAAAAAGGUUGGAAAGAGAAAAAUUCUUUUAUUUUUAUGAGAGAAUAAAAUUAAUGAUUGUGUAUUUAAAAAACUAAUAACCCAAAAAUUGUGUCAAAAACAUAAUGCCACAGAUCCGCCCCUCUAUAUGUAAGAUCCCACAUCGACCAAACGGAGAGGGGGUGAUGUGCCUUAUAUGGCACACCUCGCAUCCAUCUAGCACGAGGCCUUUUGGGAGCUCACUGGCUUCGGAGUUGUAAGAACUCCGAAGUUAAGCGAGUGGGAGGCUGGAGCAAUUCCAGGAUGGGUGACCACCCUGGGAAGUUGCUCCGUGAGCUCCCAGAAACAAAACCGUGCGGGCUGGUGAGAAUGUAGCCAGGCCCAAAGCGGACAAUAUCGUGCUACGGCGGAGUCGGUCCGGGGCGUGACAAUUUGGUAUCAGAGCCACUCUGCCGUGUGGUGCGAGUGUGCCGAAGAGGACGUCGGAUCCCUUAAGGGGGGUGGAUUGUAAGAUCCCACAUCGACCAAACGGAGAGGGGGUGAUGUGCCUUAUAUGGCACACCUCACAUCCAUCUAGCACGAGGCCUUUUGGGAGCUCACUGGCUUCGGAGUUGUAAGAACUCCGAAGUUAAGCGAGUGGGAGGCUGGAGCAAUCCCAGGAUGGGUGACCACCCUGGGAAGUUGCUCCGUGAGCUCCCAGAAACAAAACCGUGCGGGCUGGUGAGAAUGUAGCCAGGCCCAAAGCGGACAAUAUCGUGCUACGGCGGAGUCGGUCCGGGGCGUGACAAUUUAAACUUUAAGGACCCGCCCCGAAUUUUCUCAAAAACCCGAGACGAACCCUUUGGAAUUCCUGACAUCACCCCGAUGUCAGGCCCGCUUACUAAAAACUGAGACUUCCUGCCGAAAUUUCGGCAGAGUCUCCCCUAUAAAUUGGACAUUUCCCAAAAUUUCAACCUGCAUAAAAACGCAUUUAAUAUUCCCAACUGGCAGCAUGCACAAUAUAAUUUCAUGCAAUUCACACAAAUGGCCUUCGGCCUUUCAAUAAUUCCUAUCCAACUACCAAACCAUUCAAAUCCAAAUUAUGACUAAUAUUUAGUCUGCGGCUGCGCCUAAUAACCUUAGGCUGCCUACGUACCCUCCUUGAGGGAUCAAGCCACACGUAGUUCUUCCCUAAAACUCAAUUCCCCACUUGGGCGAUACCUUAUUUCAUUUCAUAUAAUCUCCCCAUACGCCGGUACAACCAACGCCACGUAUGGGGUCUGUCUCAACGCCGGAUAACCUACGCCACGUGAGACCUGCACAUCAUAUCACAUAACUCCCCAUACGCCGGUACAACCAACGCCACGUAUGGGGCCUGUCCCAACGCCGGAUAACCUACGCCACGUGGGACCUCAAUAUUAUAUCACAAAGCUCCCCAUACGCCGGUACAACCAACGCCACGUAUGGGGUCUGUCGACACGCCGGAUAACCUACGCCACGUGCGACCUCAACAUAAUAUUACAUAGCUCCCCAUACGCCGGUACAACCAACGCCACGUAUGGGGUCUGUCCCAACGCCGGAUAACCUACGCCACGCGGGACCUACUUUCACUUGGUGGUACUUGUAAUGGAUCCAACAUCCGAGGAGGUACCUAAAGUAGUGCGUAUAGCACUCCAAACUGACAUUCUAGACUUUGUUGUACCCUUGUACAACCACAUAUAAUUAUAUUUAUAUAAAUUACUUCUUAUAUUGUGUAACCCUCCACAUCCAUCUAGUACCCGAUAAUCUCCCUUAGAAAGGUGAGAUUACUCCGGGAGACUCACGGUCAACCAAGGGUCAAACUACUCUCACCCUGGUCAACCGGACCUGCAGAACCCACGACCUCCAAUUUCCGAUCUGAAAGUCUCUAUGGGUUCUACCAGGUAUAGGACACUUGUCCUGCAAGUUUGGUUCAGAUCGGACGGUCGGAUUUCUCACGAUCGCAUGAUCCGACGGUUAAUAUAAAAUAUAAACUUAAAAUUAUUAUUCGGAACAUCCGGGGCUCCGAUUCGCGAUCCGUGAAUUCCUACAUGAUCCUAGAAAUACCUAGAUCGACAUAUAUUAAAUUUGGGACCAUCCGACGGUCCCAACCUAUCGAACCCGGAUAACGCAUAGUAUGCGAUUAUCCGUUCGAUAGUCAAACGACGUCCGAAUUGAGAUCCGCGAAAUCCUACGCACUCGUGACGGCACGAGGAUCUCAAAACUGCCCAGAGUCACUCCACCACCCUCGUCCACGCGCUGCCACACGCGCGGGCAGAUCGGGUGUCCAAAGCGAUUAUGGUUCGUCGAAAAAUCUCGGAACCAAGACUCCAAACUCCUAUCCUAGGUAAAACACCUCAUUUGGAGUCACUUUUGUUCUUGGACCUACCCCAAAAAGUGACCGGAAAUGCCCGAUCACGGCGGCCGAAGUUUCGGCCGAUUUUCAAUUCGAAAAUUGAGUUGCCGAUUUUCUUUUGAGACUUUGAAUUAGAAUUUGCAGAGAAUUGUGUUGGGGACUUUGAUUCCAUAUCUUGGCUUUAACAUAUUCAUGUGAUGCGUCUUGUAUCUUUUUAGUGUUUUUUUGCUGUGAUUUCUCAUUGAUUAUUUUUAGGAAUUUGAAAUUUGUCACCCUUGAUUUUUUUUUUUUCCCUUUUCUUUUGAUCAAAUAGAAAAAUUUCAUUCAUCACUAGCAUCAAACAAAGGAUAAAAGUUUACAGAUGAACGGAGGGCCUUAAUGUGGUCUCACUAAAACCUUGCCAUCAAAAACCUCCAAUGGAGGAAAAUCCGGUCAAAAAAAAAAAGAGUGCCACCGCAUGUCAAUAAUGCAAACAAAAAUCUACGCCAUAGUUCUAUCCUUAUCUAACAGAAUGCUUAGCCAUGGGGGGCAUAGUCUGUCCAGAAAAGUCGAGAUCUCGCUCUCAAUCCAUGCUGGGCUAGGCCAUGUACCACCCCAUUGCCUUUUUUAUGUUGAUAAAACACUUCAGCCACCUCUUGAUCAACCAUUAACCGACGAACAUCCACCACCACAUUCCCAAUAUUACUCCACCAAUCCAAACCAUCUUUGAGAAUAGAAACAGCUUUUUGAGAAUCAAGACCAAUGGUAAACCGAGUAAAACUCAUGUAUCCCAUCAUCAAUAAACAUUCUCGGAUAGCCGCCAACUCAGUGCCUAAAACAUCCAGACCAAGUGGACAGCCAGAGGCAAACCAACAGAUAAAGUUUCCGUCAUGAUCACGACAGCAGCCCCCCAGACCCCGACCACUUUGCUCACGACCCACAGCCCCAUCACAGUUAAGAAUAAAAACAUUUACCCGUGGUUUCAACCAAUGAACCUAUUGAGGUACGAAAGGGAGCUUGGACCGCUCCUCACAAGAUUUGAACACCACCAAUAUCUCCAUCGUGUUUUCCACCAUAUUAUCGAACCGUGUAAUUUUUUUCCCAUGCAAAGAGUCGUUACGUAAUUUCCACACACAACAAGGAAAGCUCUAAGUCAGCUUUCGACAACAUUGAAGCCACAGCCUCAAAAAUAUCAGCAAAAGUGCCAACCGCCAUAUUAAUUCGCCAGAUAAAAUAGGUACACUUCCAAAAAUUUGACUCAUUUUAUAAGAUCACAGAGCAUGGUAGGCAUCUUUAGGAUAUUUCCCACACCUUGAGCACACCUGAGAUGUAAGCACCCUUCUCUUAAAUCAAGUGACUGCCGUUGGUAGAAUUUCAGAACUUGCCCUCCAAAUUAGCAUUUUAAUUUUGUUGGGGACUGCAAGCUUCCAAAUUCACAUCCAAAAACCUUCAUGAGCACUCUGAUCCGAUCUACCACACCCCCCCCCCCCCCCCCCCCCCCCCGCCCACAAAAAAACUAUAAUACCAUUUAAGAUUUCUAAGCAAUGCUUAAUAUAAGUGUUAGGUGAGGGUGACCCCGGGUUUUAACGCAACAAAUUCUUCCCCAAUAAGAGAAGGAUGUUUCUUUAAACGGGGGAUAGCAGGGGGGGGGUCAUUAAUAUAAUCGCGGGGGGGGGAGGUCCAGACAUCGAAGGGAAUGAAAGUAUUAACUGUAAAUUUGNNNNNNNNNNNNNNNNNNNNNNNNNNNNNNNNNNNNNNNNNNNNNNNNNNNNNNNNNNNNNNNNNNNNNNNNNNNNNNNNNNNNNNNNNNNNNNNNNNNNUCCUCAUCACAUUCCUCAUGCCCACACGAUAUCCAGUAUUAAUGGAAUAUUCCCGUUCUUAAGAAAAACCCAAUAUUUGCUAUCCCUCAUAUGUGAAACUGAUCCCAAAAGGCAAUGCUGGAAAUGAUAUCUUUAUCUUCCAAGCUAAAAAUGUUGCUCUAACAGUGGCAAAUCCCAUAAGCCAGAAGCAGUUAGAAGGUCAGAAACUGUAGUAUUCCAAUCCAGCCCUCCAGCCAUCAACGGCUUGAAAGUAAAUGGUUUUUGAAUCCACCUAUCUUGGAAAACACGGAUAGAAACUCCAUUGCACACCCUCCAAAUUAGACCAUCCUCGAUAACCUCACGACCCCACAAAAUAGAUUUCCAUAUUAUGGGUCGUAAAGAUGACCCAUGCCAUGCUUAAUCGGGUUCCUCUUUAGCUUACCUCUUCUCACGCUAUCUGCGAGUCAAGAAGAGGCAAAAGAUUAAUAAAGAGUUUAAAGAAAAACAAGUAUUAAUAUAAGAAUAUGAUCACACAAGCAUAGAUAGUUAUUUUUGCAUUUUUAAUAUAUAUUUAUAAGCAACUUUAAUAUAUAAAAUAUUUAUAUUAUAUACCGUGUAAAUAUAAGGGUUGUAACGGGCUCCAAUGCCUGACCUUUUGACCUUCUCAAGCUUCAACAACUGGCAUGCACAGAAACACACAAUACCCAUUUAUAUCCCGCCACGUCAGAACAUUCUUGCCACGUAAGGCAAAGGGUUUUGUUCUAAAAAUUAACUAAAACAUAACAGAACAUUAUGGUUGGAUGUAUUUAAACCCCCUAAUCCCCAUCCUGAUCUUCCACAGUUUAGAUCCGACGAUUAAUACGUUCUCAUCACCCUAAUUUUAGGGGUGGAUACGGUCCGAUUUGGUCUGGUUCUCAUCUUAAAUCGAAACUGGAACCGGUACUAUUUAAUCAGUCCGAUUCGGUCCGAUUUAGGCAAAAAAAAUUUCAAAAACCAGCCGGUUCGGUUCUAACCGGUUCUGACCGGUUCCAGUUUUGAACCGGAUUAUUAAUUUAUUAUUAUUUUAAUUUUUUUUCAAAACAAUUAUAAUAAAUAAUUUUUUUUUUUUUGCUUAAAAAUUAACAAAUAAUCCAAUUCAUACAUUUAGAAAUUUUUUGAAGUUGAACUUGGAAAAAUAGUGAUUAUAAAAUUUAAAAUAUAGCAUUAGAUUUUAAAAUUUUGUAAAAAUAAAAAAAUAUAUAUAUGACCGGUCCGGUUCGGUCCGGUCCGGUGUGGUGGGGUGUAAAAUCAGAACCGAAAUCGGUUCGAUCCGGUUUGUUGACUUUUUGGUCAAUCGGUUUUUUUUUUUUUCACCGGUUCGGUUCGGUGUUUUUGUUUUCCGGUCCCGAUGCCCACCCCUACUAAAUUUUUGUGCACUCGAUCACAUCCACGUGCAUAACAUACAACCAAGGGCCACGUGUCAAAUCGAGAGAGAGAGAGAGAGAGAGAGAGAGAGAGAGAGAGAGAGAGAGAGAGAGAGCACUAACAUUCUGAGUGCUUUGUUGGUGUCAGGAAUUAAAAGAAUUUCAUUUUAAUUUUACUAAAAUUCUUGAGUUUGUAAUUGAAAUAGACUAUAAAUUAUAAGGGUCGUUUGGUACACAGGCUUGGCUUGGACUAGCUUGGACUAAAUUUAGUACCCUGUUUAUUUCAUUUAUUUCUAGUUCUUAGAUGAGAUUGCUAAUACCGGGCCCACCAAAAACACCUCCUUAUAAGGGGACUACUAAGCCCAUGUAGAAAAGUGAGGACUAACUAAUCUUAUGUUCAUCAAUGUAUAAGAUGCAUAUAUUAUAUUGUAAUACUAAUAACAUAUAGUACUAUUAUUAUUAUUAUUACAUACACAUAUACUAUAAUGUACAUAUAUACACAUAUAUACACAUAUACAUGUAUAUAUAUAAACACAUAUAUAAUAUAUAUAAAUACAUAUAGAUACACACACGUAUAAUAUUAUUAUAAUAUACCCAUAUACACAUACAUUAAUAUUAUAAUAAUAGCACACAUGUAUAUAUGUAAUAUAUAUUAUAUUAUAUAUUAAUGUACAUAUAUACACGUAUAUACACAUAUACAUGUAUAUAUAUAUAAACAUAUAUAAUAUAUAUAAAUACAUAUAGAUAUAUACACGUAUAUUAUUAUUAUAAUAUACCCAUAUACACAUACAUAUUAAUAUUAUGAUAAUAGCAUACAUGUAUAUAUGUAAUAUAUAUAUAUUAUAAUACAUAUAUAUAUAUAUGUAUUAUACCCAUACAGAGAGCUUCUAUUGAGGGAUCCCUCAAAUAAACUUAUUUGAGGGACACCCCUUGUAGGCCCCACUCCGGAUUGUAUUUCACUAAUCCAAACCGUCUAUUUUGUAGAUACUCAUUCAAAGAUCAUCUCUACAAAAAAUCACUUGAAUCCGAUAUCAUGUGACCACUCAAUUGAGUUAUUGAAAUUUUAGUACUUUUCUUAAAGCACCGUGUUCAUUGAUUUUGUAAGACACAAUUGGAUGUCGAAACGGUUUCCGAUUUGUCUAAUUUUUUGUAAGGAUGAUCUAUGAAUGAAUACCUAAAAAAUAGAUGGUUUCGAUUAUUGGGAAAAGAAUUGUAGGGUACCCUAAAGGGCGUCCCUCAAAUAAAAUUAUUUGAGAGAUCCCUCAAUAGAAGGGGACUGUAUACCCAUAUAUAUUAUAAUACACAUAUACACACAUAUAUAUAUAUUUAUAUUAUUUAUAAUAUAUAAUAUUAUUAUAAUAUACAUAUAUACAUGUAUAUACAUAUAUAUAUAAAAAAAUAAAAUAAAAAUUUAGUCCUAGUUCAAACAUACACCAAAUGCAGAAUAAAUGUUAUAUAACUUAGACCAAGCUGAGCAGUGGUGCAAGAACGCAGCCCAAGAGAGGGACAAACGCACGAGAAGAUGGAACAGAGGGAUCAAAAGUGAGCAGUGGGCAACAAAAGAAAAAAACAAACAAAAUAGAAAGUGGGAGAAAUUGACAAAAUAAACAGAACAAGGUCGUUGAACAUUAUUGCUAUCAAUAAUUUAUUAUAGUAGUUGACUUUGAAUUUUCCAAUUUUGAAAGAAUGACUAUCCUCCAAUUUUGAAUUUUCUUAGAAGAAUCAUCAAACAAGAAUCAACUUUGAAUUCAACAAGGAUUCUGUUUAUCACCUAUAUCACGGUCAAGUCCUCUCCUGGUGGCCCAAAGGUUUCAAUAUCAAUAAUUUGCAUUCAGUGGGUUGUUGUUUUCCGACUUCUCAAUUUGCAUUGUGUGGUGGUGGUUUGCUUCGUUUUCAAGCAUGGUUGUUCUUAUAUAUAUAAGUACAUGUGAGCAACGGCACAUACACAAAGCAACAUGCUAGUGCAAGCUUAUAACCUAAUGGCUCAUGGCUUCCUUCUCUUCCUCUUAUUCUCUUGUAUUAUACCUACAAAUAUUCAUGCCUGCAAACAAACUGAACGUAGCUCCCUCCUGUCCUUUGCCUCCACUCUAUCUUCUCCUUCUUUAAAUUGGACAUCCAUUGAUUGCUGUCGUUGGAAGGGCAUCACUUGUGAUCAACCUGGUUGGGUCACCCAUUUGCUCUUGCCUUCCAAAGGGCUCAAAGGAGGUAUCUCUCCCUCUUCACUUGGAAAUCUCACACAUCUCACCCACUUGAACCUUUCCCACAAUUCACUAUAUGGUUCACUUGAAACUCAGUUCUUCUUGUCUUUGAAUAGACUUGAGAUCCUUGAUUUGAGCUAUAACCGUCUUUCUGGAGAGCUACCACUUUCUCUACCAUCUAGCAAUAUCCGGACAGUUGAUUUGUCCAGCAAUCGCUUUUUUGGUGCAAUUCCAUCUUCAUUCUUCCAACAAGCUCGCAACUUGACAAGUUUCAAUGUCAGCAACAAUACCUUCACCGGGUAUGUUCCGUCCUCUAUUUGUCUCCAUUCUUCUCCCUCCCUUAGGCUAUUGGAUUUUUCUUCCAAUGUAUUCAGUGGCUAUCUUGCUCCUGGGCUAGGGAGGUGUUCCAAAUUGCAAGUUUUUCGUGCCAGUCACAACAACCUCUCUGGAUUACUUCCAGAAGAUAUCUAUAAUGCUACCAAACUUGAAGAAAUUUCAUUACCUCUCAAUUCACUACAUGGAGCCAUUAGUGAUAGAAUUGCCAACCUCACCAACCUUGCAAUCCUCGACCUCUACUUUAAUCAUUUUGGAGGCGAGCUUCCUCCCAAUUUGGGGAAGCUCUCCAAGUUGAAAUUGGUGACCCUUGAUUUCAACAAUUUAGAAGGUGCUUUGCCCCCAUCUUUGAUGAAUUGCACAAACCUUGUGGAACUGCGUUUGGGAUCCAACAACUUAAAAGGAGAUAUCUCCAUUCUUGAUUUCUCCAGACUUAGUCAACUUACUAAACUGGAUCUAAGGAACAAUAACUUCACUGGUACGGUUCCAGUAAGCCUUUACUCAUGUAAGUCCCUAAAAGCCAUUGCAUUGGGUAGAAAUCAUCUAGAGGGACAAAUAGAAGUUGAGAUUCUUUCAUUGAAAUCCUUAUCCUUCCUCUCGCUUGGUUACAACAGAUUCACCAACCUCACAGGGGCAAUGAAGAUAUUGAUGAGUUGCAAAAGUCUUCAUGCACUCAAGCUUACUGGUGCCUUUGAAGGUGGGGGAAUGCCAUUUGAUGAUGACAUGGUUGAUUUUGAUGGAUUCCAAAAUCUUCGGCUCUUCAGUUUAGGUCAUUGUGGCCUCAUUGGUCAAAUACCUGUAUGGUUAUCAAAGCUCAAGAAUUUAGAGAUAUUGCUCCUGGGUAGUAAUCAAAUCACAGGGCCAAUUCCAAGUUGGUUGGGGACUCUUCCUAGACUGUUUUAUAUAGGCUUGUCAAACAACCAAAUUUCAGGUGAAUUUCCAAAGCAACUUUGUAGACUACCAAGGUUGAUUUAUGAACGUAAUAUUGCAUCUCAAGCAGAAGACCAAUAUGAAUUUGAAUUGCCUGUCUUCAGCACCAUAAAUGGUGCAAAUAACCUUUUCCUACCACAAAAAUUGUCUUCUUUCCCAGCAAUGAUAGAUGUAUCUAACAAUAACAUUAGUGGUUAUAUACCUGCUGAUAUUGGCCAAUUGCGGCUUCUCCGCAAGUUAGUUCUUGACUCCAACAACUUUUUAGGCGUCAUUCCAGACCAAAUAUCUAACCUAAAAAAUUUAGAGGUUUUGUACCUCAGCAUGAAUCACUUGUCUGGAAUAAUCCCAUCAUCAUUGAUGAGCCUUAAUUUUUUGAGAGAAUUUAAUGUCUCAUACAAUAAUCUUGAAGGACCAAUACCAAUAGGGACCCAGCUCCAAAGCUUCAACGCUUCUGCCUUUGAGGGGAAUCCAAAACUUUGUGGUGCCCCACUUCCAAAUAAGUGCAGACCAAGUAAGGGCAUUGAUGCAUAUAAUAAGAGCAAUAAAGACGUGGACAAUGGUCUUCAUCAACUUCCAUGGUUUUAUAUUUUCGUUGCUUUGGGGUUCAUAGUAGGAUUUUGGGGAGUUUGUGGUUCUUUAGUUAUUAAUAAAACAUGGAGAUAUGUCUAUUUUCAAUUCAUAGACAAUCUACAAGAUAGGCUCUAUGUAAUGAUAAGUUGAUAACAGUCCACAUCAACAUGAUGAAAAGAAGCCUUGGUGGCUAGAUAUAUAUUAUUAAUAUGUUGUACUUUUUAUUUUACAUUUUCAGUUUGCUUUUUGUUUUUUUUUUCUUCUUCUUUUGAAAGUAACUGGACUCAAAUUUAAAGGAUGUAUGUUGUUAUGUUCAUAAAGUUAUGGGGGAAUUUGUACUUAAUUGUAAUAACCCAAUUCUAAAUAAAUAUUUAAUUAUUAAUUUAUUUAAGUAAAAGACAAUUUUACUCCGAGAAUAUUUUAAUAACAAAACAUGAAAUUUUGAAAUGAAAUGGCAAGGGUGGACAGUCACAGAAAUUCAAGUGUCAAAAAAUGUUGAAUAUGAGGUCCACCAGCCAUAAAACAGAUAAAUUGUAAAAACCCAAGUCCCUGUUAAAAAAACAUAUAGGCAUUAACAAUACAAAAGCAUGAAUUAAAACAUAUGAGGAAAAUCAUAAACCAUUACUCUAUGGAAUCUUGGUCCAGCCACUCCCCUGCUGUCUAUGUAUCUAAAAGGAAAAUAUAAAUAUAAUCAGAUUUCCCAACAAAGCAAAAGAUACAUACUGAAAGGGUUCCAACUUGCAAGCUAUAGCUAUUCUGAUAAGCAUAUAUUCAUAGUCAAACUUGCAAGCAAAUCCAAUCCACAAGUUAGACUAUUGCUACACAAACCAAUCAAUUAAUUUUAGUUGUCAAUGCACUUAGGAAUUCAUAUGAUUUUAUUUUCAAGUUAGACUCUCAUGUCACCUUGACAGUAUGUGUAUGUGAGAAAACCUCAUUCCUAAUAACGCUUGUAUAUGUAAAACAAAAUAACAAAAAACAAAAAGAAAGAUGCAAUUCAUGAAUAUAUCAGCUCCCAAUCCCUAUAAAACAAAAGAAAGUGUUACAAACUUACAAAAAACUUGGGGCCAAAAUCUUCUCAAAGUUCCAAUAGUAGGUUUUUGGCAGAUUGGACAUACAAGAAGAUAGGCACAAAACAUCUAAUGCAUACCAUACGGUCACUACGGAUCAUGGAAUUUUAUGCCUUUAGGCUUAAAAAAAGUAAUCACAUCAGAAUCCUAGGAUAGGAUUUAUACAUGAAAAAGAUUUAUGCUUGUCCUCUACAAAGUGCCCCAUUUAUAUGAAUUGUAUUUUGAUAUCAUCAGUGACAUAAAACAUAAGAGCAAAAGAAUAUUGAACUUUUGGGAAUGCCCUUCAAUGAUGGAAAAGUAAUUCACCACACCAUAUGAAAUUCCUUGGUGAACUCUCAUGAAUUAAACAAAUCCAAAAGUUCUACAUUUAAUUAAUUAUGGCCCUUUGUUCCCUAGAGAUGGACAAUUUGAUAAUGUAAACAAAUGCUUCAAGCAUUUCCUAUGCAACUAUAUAUUUUGACAGAAGUUUGUGCUUUAAAUUAGGCACCUUCUCUGUAAUUAAUGAGAAAUUAUACAACAGUACUGGAGUUCGGUCACAUAGUAAUGGUGGAACUACAUAUAGGCUACCCUCGACUGUAGCCCAGUGCAACCUUGGUCAAAAAUACUUUUUACAGCACAUAAUUUCAAGAUUUUGACAUUAAGCCCACCCCAACCAACUCCGACAUGUGCAAAUUCUUCACUUUUAUGGCUGGGUAGUUAAGAAAAGUCGUAGUUUUCUAGUUUUAUAUUAUGUUAAUUGAAUCGUUCAAGUUCAAAAAAAAUUAAAAUUUAGCUGUUCUUGGUUUGACUUAAUUUUGUUUUAUCAUUUAACGAAAUAUUAGCCCACCCUUUUGAAAAAAAUUAGUUCCACUCUUGUAUGUAAUAUAGCUCAUGUAAGUGUUAUAAUAUGGAUGAACUAAGUUGAUAUUUUUCCAUUUUAAGUACUAUGUUGUCAUACUACCGUACUACACUAUAAGAUUGAGAAUUAUCAUUUGUGGCUCCUUUUUUUUUUUUUUUUUUUGGGUAAUUAAGUUGUUGACGAAGAACUUUAUGUCAUACAAAUGAAAUUAUAGUUUAAAAUGAACUAGUAUGGGGUUGUAUUAGUUUAAUCUGUGGUGGGAAUGGCCCUACCCUCUAACUAAUCCAUUUACAUUGUUUUAUGGAGUCAAUUACAAUUCAUUUUACUGUAGAUUUUUAAUUAUUUAUUUAUUUUUAAUAUAUUAUAUCUUAACUUAAGCGAUAAGAUUUAGUCUUCAUAAUCAACAAUCUUCAAGUCAAGAUGGUGAUUGACAAAUAGACCCCCACCCAACCACAUUUUAAUUCACAUCUUAUAUUCCUUCCAGAUUUUCAACCAAUCUGCAGACAUGGAUGAAAAAGUAAUUUGCAUUCAAACCAGAAGUUCUUAGAAGGUAGCUCUCGUUCACACAAUCAUUUGUAAUUUACUGUGGGUCGUUGCCACGCAGAGUUAGAGCAUGAUUGGUCCAAAUAAACUCGAUUGUCGGUGAGUGAAUGGGCAGGUAACCAAUAAGGGUUCCAUCAACUUUGAUUAAUUAUUUCCAAUUUGUCUUAUGCAGCACAUCUUCCUCUUACGCAGUCAGUGUCAGCCUUCGAAGUUCGCAUAAUUGCUUUUUGAAUGCUGGGGUUGAUAUUAAUUGUUUAUCUGUUUAUUUGUUUGUUUUCAAUUGGUUUUUCGGCAAUCAAAUUAAGUAGGUCAAGUCCUCUCCUGGUGGGCCCUUCUUAAGUGGUUGUUGUGGAAAUAUAUCUUCGACACAUAGGUUUUAAUAUUAAUAAUUAGAAGAUUUAUUAUUAUAUCAAAUGUAGAAGCGUAAAUUAUAAAAUAAAAAAUUCUAUAUGAAAAGGACUUUAAAAACACACUCAAUAUCCAUUUACAACAUAACAAAAAAGCUUUUAAUUUUUUUUAAAUUACAAAAUUGUUAUUGAUUUCUUAAAACAAACCUAAUCUCAAAACCGCAUUAAAAAAAAACUCAAAACACUCAAUAGGGCAUUAAAGUAAUUUAAUAAUUAAAAUUAAAUUCAAUAUGGCCAGUUGUCACUUUUUUUUUUUUUUUUUUGAGUUUGUUUAUAGAAAUUCAAUGGUGUAAGAUUUAUCUAUAUUAUUAGUGUUAAGAAUAAGUAUAUAACUAAAUAUCUCUUAAUAAUUUGCAUUGUGUGGUUUCGAGCAUGGUUGCUCUUAUAUAUAUGUAAAUACAUGUGAGCAACGGCACAUACACAAAGCAACAUGUUAGUGCAAGCUUAUAACCUAAUGGCUCAUGGCUUCCUUCUCUUCCUCUUAUUCUCUUGCAUUAUUUCAACAAAUAUUCAUGCCUGCAAACCAACUGAACGCAGCUCCCUCCUGUCCUUUGCCUCAACUCUAUCUUCUCUUCAUUUAAAUUGGACAUCUAUUGAUUGCUGUCGUUGGAAGGGCAUCACUUGUGAUCAAGAUGGUUGGGUCACCCAUUUGCUCUUGCCUUCCAAAGGGCUCAAAGGAGGUAUCCCUUCUUCUUCACUUGGAAAUCUCACACAUCUCACCCACGUGAACUUUUCCCAUAAUUCACUAUAUGGUUCACUUGAUACUCAGUUCUUCAUGUCUUUGAAUCGACUCGAGUUCCUUGAUUUGAGCUAUAACCUUCUUUCUGAAGAGCUACCACUUUCUCUACCAUCUAGCAAUAUCCGGACAGUGGAUUUGUCCAGCAAUCACUUUCAUGGUGCAAUUCCACCUUCAUUCUUCCAACAAGCAAGCAACUUGACUAGUUUCAAUGUCAGCAACAACACCUUGACAGGGUAUGUUCCAUCCUCUAUUUGUCUCAGACAUUCUUCUCCCUUCCUUAGGCUGUUGGAUUUUUCUUCCAAUGCAUUCAGUGGCAACCUUGCUCCCGGGCUAGGGAAGUGUUCUGAACUGCAAGUUUUUCGUGUCGGUCACAAUAACCUCUCAGGAUUACUUCCAGAAGAUAUCUAUAAUUGUACCAAACUUGAAGAAAUUGCAUUACCUCUCAAUUUUCUACAUGGCACCAUUAGUGAUAAAAUUGUCAACCUGACUAACCUCGCAAGCCUUGAUCUCUACUAUAAUCAUUUUGAUGGUGAGCUUCCUCUCAAUUUGGGGAAGCUAUCUAUGUUGAAGUUUUUGACCUUUGAUUUCAACAAUUUAGAAGGUGCUUUGCCCCCAUCUUUGAUGAAUUGCACAAACCUUGUAGAAUUGCGUUUGGGAUCCAACAAUUUGGAAGGAGAUAUAUCCAUGCUUGAUUUUUCCAGACUUAGUCAACUUACUAAGCUUGACCUAAGGAGGAAUAACUUCACUGGUACAAUUCCAAGAAGUCUUUACUCGUGUAGGUCCGUAAAAGCCAUUGGAUUGUCUGGAAAUCUUCUAGAGGGACAAAUAGAAGAUGAUAUUCUUUCAUUGAAAUCCUUGUCCUUCCUCUCUCUUGGUUACAACCGAUUCACCAACCUCACAGGGGCAAUGAAGAUGUUGAUGAGUUGCAGAAGUCUUCACGCACUCAUGCUUGGUGGUUCCUUUGUGGGUGAGGGAAUGCCAAGUGAUGAUGACAUGGUUGAUUUUCAUGGAUUCAAAAAUCUUCGGUUAUUGAAUUUGGAUGAUUGUCAACUCACUGGUCAAAUACCUCUAUGGCUGUCAAAGCUUAGGAAUCUAGAGGUCUUGUUUCUGGCUUAUAAUCAAAUCACAGGGCCAAUUCCAAGUUGGUUGGGAACUCUUCCUAGACUUUUUUAUAUAAACUUGAAAGACAACCGAAUUUCAGGUGAAUUUCCGAAGCAACUUUGUAGACUACCAAGGUUGGUUUAUGAACCUAACAUUGCAUCUCAAGUAGAAGCUUUUGAAAUUGAAUUACCUCUCACCAUCGGCCAAAACUCAAAUCCAACUUUUCUACCCCACAGAUUGGCUUACUUUGCAGCAUCGUUAGACCUAUCUAACAAUAACAUCAAUGGUCAUAUACCUGCUGAGAUCGGCCAAUUGCAGUUUCUCCACAAGUUGGCUCUUAACUCCAACAACUUCUCCGGUAUCAUUCCAGACCAAAUAUCUAACCUGAAAAAUUUAGAGGUUUUUAACCUCUCCAUGAAUCACUUGUCUGGAAUAAUCCCAUUAUCAUUGGCGAGCCUUAAUUUCUUAAAAGAAUUUGAUGUCUCAUACAAUAGCCUUGAAGGACCAAUACCAACAAGCACCCAGCUCCAAAGCUUCGAAGCUUCUGCGUUUGAGGGGAACCUAAAACUUUGUGGUGCGCCACUUCCAAAUAAGUGUAGCCCAAAUAAGGGCAUUGAUGCAGAUAACAAGAACAACAAAGACAUGCACAAUGGGCUUCAUCAACUUCCAUGGUUUUAUAUGUUUACAGCAUUAGGGUUCAUAGUGGGAUUUUGGGGAGUUUGUGGUUGUUUAAUUUUUAACAAGACGUGGAGAUAUGCGUAUUUUCGAUUCAUAGACAAUGUACAAGAUAGGCUCCUCUAUAUGAUGAUAAUAGUGCGUAUCAACAUGAUGAAAAGAAGGACUUAGAGGCUAGAUAUAUAUUAUUAAUAUUGUACUUUUUAUUUUGCAUUUUCAGUUUGCUUUUACCAUUUUUUUUCUCUUAUGUUUCAUUUCAAUGUAACUGGACUCAAAUUUAAAGGAUAUAUAAUGUUCGGUUCAUAAAGUUAUGGGGGAAACUCAUGCAGACAAGUGAAAAUACAAUAAAAUUGUUUACAAACUAAAAGAGAAGAACCAAAUCAUAAAUUGACUACAUGCGUGAGGUUUUUUACUAGUGUUAAAAAAAAAUCAUGACAUCAUAUGACACAUCCUAUACGGCUUAUAACAACUCUGCAAUAAACAAGCAGUAAUGCAUUUGCAAUUUAACUUGAUUGUCUAAAGUCGAUAACGCAACUGUUUGGGCCUAAAAACCGUGCACCAGCCCAAUUUGGUUAUGGACUUCUCUUUGCCAAAUUAUGUUGGGGCCUUUUUACCAAAAGUGGUGAAAAAUCCAUACGAUUGGUAAAGAAGGGAAUUAACUUAAUUCAAAAAUCCGGUAAAUUGGGGGUUGAAUUACCACCAAAUGGUGAUUUAAAUCCAAAGAGACCGGAUUACUUGAAUUAGUCUCAACCCAUUUAACUUUUCUUAGCUAUCAAGGUAUCAAGAUGAAUUCUCAUCGUUGGUAACUAAACUCCAAAUAGUUUUGAUGACCUCAAUAGCUAGAAAUUAAGGUCGGUAUGGCCUUAGUUGAAGAAAUAUAGCUAUUUAUUACAAAUCGCCAAAAUGCUUUACUUAAAAAAGGAUAUUUAUUGCAUCCAACAAUGGAGGGUUUUUUGAGCAUCAUAUUCACGCUAGUUCAGGCCUCUCUACAAAAAGGAACGAUCUAGAGACAUUCUGGUACAUUGAGGACCGGAAGCCAAAAUGAUCAAUGCAAUGACUGGUAGAGCUUUUUUAGCCACUUGUGCAUUAAAAUAAGGUUUAGCCUAAGUCUCAAAAUAUCCAGAUUUCCUCAUGACAUUUUCUUCUAUAAAUACAAGAGUGCCUGGACUAAACAAAAGACACCCAAACAACCUACCAAUCGGACAAAAAGAAAACUCAAAAAUCAGCUCAGGCUAACCCAAGAAAUCAAAGAUCACAAGAUCUUACAAGCUACCGAAAGCAAACAAGCAAUCUUCCUCAAGAAGGAGUUCAUAUAACCAAGAGGAAACCAAGGUUUCCUUCGCAAAGCCAGAUAAGGUAAAAUCAGACAGAAUUCAAAAGAGAGUGAUCUCUCUUACAAAUUUGGUUCAGCAAAUUAAAUGAAACAAGUAGGAGUCAGGUAUUUCAUCAUAUGAAAACCUGAACAAAUUUUGCAAAGACAUCUAUAAAAUGUCUUAAAGUUGUCCAGAUAACUCAGAACCAACCAGAACAAGUCCUUGCCGACAGUUCUAAUCACUUUUAAAGGCCUCUCUAUGGCCCAACUUGUUCAUAGCUCUGCCAACAUGGAACUUGGUAUCAAAUCCCAGCUAAUCUCUUUUUGUUGGGGCUCUUGUGUCUGAAAGAGAGACUUCGUACAAAAUCAAAUGUACUUCUGCUUCUAUUGCUUGGGCUUUUUGUUUUUGUUUUUUUUUUUCGUGUGUGUGUGUGUGUCCGGGUUCUCAUUUCAGAUUUGAACUUCUUUUUUUUUUUUUUUUUUCCAGAUUAUUCCAGAAUUGCCUAGAGUUAUUGGAAGUAUAGCUUGGUGGCUGCUAGCUGUGAUUGAUUUAGGGGAUUUCCUUGAUUUAGGGGAUUUCCUUAAUUUAGGGGAUUUGAUCUUGUUGCUUGUAAUUAUAGUUUUUCUAUAAUUAGGGGUUAAAGUCAAGGUGGUGGUUGCUUGUAAUUAUAGUUUUCCUAUAAUUAGGGGUUAAAGUCAAGGUGGUGGUCCCUAGCUUAUACAUAUAUACGUGUGUAAUCCUGUAAACUAAAACACAAUGAGAAAACAUAUUCUCCCCAUCAUCAUAUUCUCUCCAUCAUUUUCCACAUGGUAUCAGAGCAGGAACCUUAACCGGCCUGUCUCCAUUUUUACCUUUCUUUCUUCUGUACAUGCUAUUCAAUAAUGGCAGAAGAUAAUCCUUUUGGCUUUGAAGCUAAAAGCUUCACAGUACCUCCUUCUAGUUUUCCAGAAGCUGAAGUCAACCCAAACCAGCGACUGUGCUCUGUGUUGUUAAAUGAGUUUAACUAUCUUCCAUGGUCUAGAGCAGUAACUCUUGCCCUUGGAGGAAGAUCCAAACUCGGAUUUGUUAAUGGAACCAUUGAGGCACCUGAAGAUUCGUCUCCGGAGUAUGAAGCAUGGCUGUGCAAAGACCAACUGGUCAUGUCGUGGCUCCUUAACUCCAUGGAUCCUAAGCUGUCUGAAAUCUUCAGUUUUUCAGAAUCCUCUCUUUCUCUUUGGAAGGCAGUCAAAGAUAUGUAUGGCAAUCAAAACAAUGCAGCUCGAGUGUUCCAACUUAAGAGGAAUCUUGCAAGUCUCCAACAAGGUGAUAAAUCCUUUGUUCAUCAUCUCGGUUGCAUGAAAAAUAUGUGGAACGAACUAAAUAUGUAUCGACCACAUACUAUCGAUGCUGCCAUACUGUUAAAGAGGUCUGAGGAAGACAAAAUUUUCCAUUUGCUUGCAAGUUUGGGGUCUGAAUAUGAAGAUCUUAGAAGCCAUAUUCUAAUGAACCCCGAACUUCCAUCAUUUGCAAGUAUUUGCACUACUAUCCAGCGAGAAGAAGUACGUAGGAAAGUCAUGAAUGUUGACAUCAAAUCUAGUGUGUCUGAGGCUAGAGCGUUUGUGACAAACCACAAGUCAUCUGGAGAUAGAGUGUACAAGGGAAAAAAGCCAGAUCUGAAGUGCUUACACUGCAAUAAUAUUGGACAUCUAAUAGAUCGAUGCUGGAUAUUACACCCUGAGUUGAAGCCAAAGUUUGAGAACAAGCCUUCAAGAGACUACAAGGGCUCACAAACCAGAUCACAUACAAACAAAAACCAUGCUACUGUUGCUGCUACAUCAAUUGAUGGGCUGACAAACUUCACAGCCAAUCCGGCUAACUUGAUAAAUGAAUUCUCUGCCUAUCUUCAAACCAAAAAAGGAAGCACAGGCGAAGUAUUGACUGCUGGAAAUCAAACUGCUCUCCUUGGGCAGUUUGCAGGACUCUUAGCUGAGUCUAAUCGUGUACCUCAAGGAGAUGUUCCAGGUAUUAUGUGUGCUCUUUCAACUGCUCUAAAUGUUAGUCAUUCUCAUGAUUUUUGGAUUAUAGACUCAGGUGCCACUGAUCACAUGACAAAUCAAUAUUCAAAGCUAUACAAUUUUGAAAGCUACACUACACCAUCACUAGUUUCUAUAGCAAAUGGUAGAGGUGUACCCGUUCUAGGUAGAGGGAAAGUUAAACUAAUUUCAGAUAAUGUUGAGUCCACAGCAUUAUAUGUUCCAUCCUUUCCUUUUCAAUUGUUGUCCGUAGGAAGGAUUACAAAUUCUCUCAACUGUCGUGCUAUUUUCUCCCCUCACAAUGUUGUUUUUCAGGAUCUAGCCACCAAGAAGCUGAUUGGUGAAGGUCGCUACCUAAAUGGGCUGUACUAUUUUUCAAAGAACCUUAAUGUUCCAAAAGGGUUCCAAGUCAGUUCAAAUCUAGAACAUCAGUUGUGGCACCAACGUCUAGCACAUCCCUCAGAAUUUGUUUUGUCUACUUUGUUCCCUAGAUUAUGCAAAUCCUCACUUGUAUGUGAAAUCUGUCAUUUGUCAAAAUUUACUCGACUUCCAUUUAAUUCUUCCAUAUCUAGAGCUAGCAAACUUUUUGAGAUGGUACACUCCAAUGUUUGGGGACCUGCACCUCUAGAGUCUUUUGAUGGUUAUAGGUACUACGUUACCUUUGUUGAUGAUUUUUCAAGAGUCACUUGGUUGUACCUCAUAAAAUUCAAAAGUGAAGUCAUGGAUGCUUUCAAGAAUUUUCAUAAUCUUGUCAUGAACCAUUUUUCGUCUCAAAUUCACAUACUAAGGUCUGAUAAUGGCACUGAAUAUACAUCCAAAAAUAUGACUAACUAUUUGAGCACACAUGGCAUUAUACAUCAAACAAGUUGUGUAGGUACUCCUCAGCAAAAUGGAAUUGCCGAAAGGAAGAAUAGGGAUCUACUUGAGAAAACCAGGGCUCUAAUGUUACAAAUGAAUGUGCCUAAGAGGUUUUGGUCUCAAGGAGUUCUUGCAGCUACCUACCUCAUCAACAGACUGCCUAGUCGGGUUCUGGAUUCAAAAUCACCAUAUGAGGUCAUGCAAAACAAAAAAAUUAACCUGUCCUAUCUGAGAAUUUUUGGAUGUACUUGUUAUGCUCAUAUCCAAUCCCAUCACCGAGACAAGCUAGAUCCCAAGGCAAUUAAGUGUGUUUUCAUGGGUUACUCAUCCACUCAAAAAGGUUACAAAUGUUACAAUCCAUGUUCCAGGAAGCUAUUUGUCUCAAGAGAUGUAAGGUUUGAUCAAAAUCGUCAGGGGGAGCACUUACUGGAUUUCUUUCCAUUACCAAAUCCAGCCGAAACAAGUGAUUGUGUUCAUUCAGUACCUCACACAGUGACUCUCAUGCAACCCAAUAUUGACAACGUGAUUAUUGGAGAUGAAACUGAAGCCUCCGAAGCACAAAUUGGAGAUAAAACUGAAGCCUCCGAAGCACAAGUUGUUCCUCAUGACAAUGACACAUCAUCUAUAGAAGAGAGUGGAGCUGAACCUACUGUGAUCCCAUCUCAACCUCGGAGGAAUCCAACUCGAGAUAGACAUCCACCAUCAAGGCUACAAGAUUAUGUAACGUUCAAUGUAAGGUACCCAAUUCACAAGUUUGUAAAUUACUCCAAAGUCUCUCACUCCCAUGCAGCUUUUCUCAGUAAAUUGUCAAAUGAAAGUGAACCAAGGAAUUUUCAAGAAGCCAAUCUUCAAGAUGUUUGGAGGCUAGCCAUGGAAGAAGAACUCAAGGCUUUGGAUGAAAAUAAAACCUGGAGUGUAGUCCAGCUUCCAAAGGGAAAGAAGGUGGUAGGCAGUAGGUGGAUCUACAAAACCAAAUUUAAUUCUGAUGGUUCAAUUGAAAGACACAAGGCAAGGUUGGUGGCUCGCGGUUUUACUCAAACAUUUGGAGUUGAUUAUAAGGAGACAUUUGCUCCUGUGGCUAAGAUGAGUACAGUGAGGGUUUUGUUAUCUGUUGCAGUUAAUCAUGAGUGGCCGUUGUACCAAAUGGAUGUAAAAAAUGCUUUUUUGCAUGGAGAUCUUGAAGAGGAAGUUUACAUGCAAUUACCUCCUGGUCAUCCACAAGCACAGAAUUCAAGUAUGGUUUGCAAGCUUCACAAAUCCAUUUAUGGAUUGAAACAAUCUCCACGUGCCUGGUAUGCCAAGCUGAGCUCUGUACUUGAAAAGUUUGGUUUCAAGAGAAGUCAUGCUGAUUCAUCCUUGUUUGUUCGAACUGGAUCAGUUGGCAAAUUAGUUGUUCUAAUCUAUGUUGAUGAUAUCAUCAUCACAGGUGAUAAUAUUGAUGAGAUUAACACUCUUAAGCAUUCUCUUCAUCAGAAAUUUGCCAUUAAAGACUUAGGAGUGUUAAAAUACUUCCUUGGGAUUGAAAUGGCUACUUCUCCCAAGGGACUGUUUUUAAGUCAACGGAAGUAUGUGAUUGACUUGCUUCAAGAAGUGAAGAUGAUAGAUUGCAAACCGGCCCGUACACCUCUUGAUAGCAAAUUGAAGUUGGACUUGGAAGGAGAGCCUCUCAGCGAUAUAAGUUACUACCAAAGACUGGUGGGUAAGCUUAUAUAUCUCACCAUUACUAGACCGGAUAUAACUUACGCCGUCAGUCUUGUAAGCCAAUUCAUGCAUGCACCCACUGAGGCUCAUUUAAAUGUUGUUAAAAGGAUUCUAAGAUACCUCAAGGGCUCCAUUGGUCGUGGAAUUAUCAUGAAAAACAAUGGUCAUACUCAAAUCAUGGCAUACACCGAUGCUGAAUGGGCAGGGAAUGCUAUUGAUAGAAAAUCCACUACAGGCUACUGCACAUUUGUUGGAGGAAACAUCGUGACAUGGAAGAGCAAAAAGCAAAAUGUAAUUGCUCGCUCAAGUGCCGAAGCUGAGUAUAGAGCAAUGGCUUCCACUGCAUGUGAACUCGUUUGGCUCAAGAGCCUUAUCUCAGACUUGGGUUUUUUGAGCAACAAACCUAUGUCUCUUUUUUGUGACAAUCAGGCAGCUAUGCAUAUUGCCGCCAAUCCCGUGUUCCAUGAACGGACCAAAUACAUUGAAGUUGACUGUCACUAUGUUCGUGAACAGGUUCAGUCCAAGGUAAUUCAAACCACAUUCACUCGGAGCCAUGAUCAACUUGCUGAUGUUUUCACCAAGUCUCUUGCUUCCACUCAGUUUCAACGCUUGCUCUCCAAGCUUGGAUCAAUUAAUCCCCUUGAUCCAGCUUGAGGGGGAGUAUUGGAAGUAUAGCUUGGUGGCUGCUAGCUGUGAUUGAUUUAGGGGAUUUCCUUGAUUUAGGGGAUUUCCUUAAUUUAGGGGAUUUGAUCUUGUUGCUUGUAAUUAUAGUUUUUCUAUAAUUAGGGGUUAAAGUCAAGGUGGUGGUUGCUUGUAAUUAUAGUUUUCCUAUAAUUAGGGGUUAAAGUCAAGGUGGUGGUCCCUAACUUAUACAUAUAUACGUGUGUAAUCCUGUAAACUAAAACACAAUGAGAAAACAUAUUCUCCCCAUCAUCAUAUUCUCUCCAUCAUUUUCCACAAGAGUCCGGUGGGUACUUCCUGAUUCUACUCUUUUUUUUUCCUGGGAAAUGAUAUUGUGGGGCUAAUUAGCUAACUGGAGUUAUGAUUUGGACUUAGGCCUCUGCUAUUUUGAGGAUCUCUUAGUUGGGUCAGGUCUCUAAAGCCUGUUUGAUUUGUAUUUCUAAUUCUGUGUAGUUGCUUCUGGGGUGCAUUGCCCUCCCCACCCCAGUUCACAAAGAAAAAAAGACAGUGUUGGUCUCUAGAAUUCGAUGAUGAAAAUUUUCCUCUUAGGCAGUCAAUGUUAGCCUUGGAAGUUCGCGUAAUUGCUUUUUGAAUGCUGUGUUUGAUAGUAAUUGCCUUUUUAAUACUGAUAUUAUAGUAAUCUUAAACUGCCAUUCUGUUGUACAUUGUCUACCUGUUUAUUUGUUUGUUUUCAAUUAGUUUUUCGGCAAUCAAGUAUUCAUUUAUACAUGAUUGUCUGCUUUCUUGUUAUUUUUUGUUUUGAUAGGAGAACCUUUUUAUUAAUGGUGAAGCAGUACCAUAUGAUCCCAAGUACUGUGACGAAUGGAUAAGAAACAAUAGCCGAGCAAACGAGAGAAACAGACGCUAAAUCAUCUAGAUGGGCAAAUACAACCUCAGAUUCUUUCAUUGAAAUACUUGUCAUUCCUCUCAAUUGGUUUGGUGGCCCUAGAUUGACCAAUAUCACAGGAGCAAUGAAAAUACUUACGUGUUGCACAAGCCUUCGCGCAUUCUUCCUUUCAGAAUCCUUUAUAGCUGCAUCGCUUUCAAGCUAACUAUAAGAAAUUCAAAAAAUUAGAUGCAAGUGGUUAUUGAUUACUGAUUACUUACUUUCGAUGGAUAUUGUAUUCAAACAAUAUUUGUAAUUAUAACGUAGUUUGGAAACAAAAACAUUAGUUGGUUGCUAAUCAUGGAGGUAACAAAGUAUUGAUGUUCCUCAUCACGUUUGAUAACCAAAGAUUACUGCCUUCUUAAUGUCCGGGAUUGACCAAGUGGUGAGCGAAGACGGAGAAAAUUGUUUAGGAUUGGAAUAGGUCAAAUUUUCGGUCCCUUGUAAUAUAGUCAAAAAUAUAAUUCAUGAAGCCAAUAGAGUUUAGUCUAAUGGAAAACGGCCUUGAUUUGUAAAUUAGUGGUCUUAAUUUCGAAAUUUCAUGUCAUCUUGACAGUAUGUGUAUGUAAAAAAACAAAAAGAAUAAAAACAAAAAAACAAAAAGUAUGUGUAUGUCAUCUUGACAGUAUUUAUAAAUCAGUGGUCUUUUGUAUAUAUAAAACAAAAGAAAAAACAAAAGAAAAAGAAAGAUACAAUUCAUGAAUAUAUCAGCUCCCAAUCCCUAUAAAACAAAAGAAAGUGUUACAAACUUACAAAAAGAAAUAUUUUGUUUUAUCAUUUAACGAAAUAUUAGCCCACCCUUUUGAAAAAAUUUAGUUCCACUCUUACACGUACCAUAGCUCAUAUAAGUGUUAUAAUAUGGAUGGAAAGUUGAUAUUUUCCCAUUUUAAGUACUACACUAUAAGAUAGAUAAUUAUCAUUCUUGCACCAAAAAGAAUAAAAAUAAGGAUUUGUUAUAACCCAAGGACUUAAAAGAAUUUCAUUUUACUUUUACUAAAAUUCAUGAGUUUAUAAUUGAAACAGACUAUAAACUAUAAGAAAGAGUUUGAGCAGUGGUGCAAGAACGCAGCCCAAGAGAGGGAUAAACGCACGAGAAGAUGGAACAGAGGGAUCAAAAGUGAGCAGUGGGCAACAAAAGAAAAAACAAACAAAAUAGAAAGUGGGAGAAAUUGACAAAAUAAACAGAACAAGGUGGUGGGGUCCACAUCUUUGGUCAUCAAUAUAUUUAGCAAGUAGUUGUUAAGUUGUUAACAUGGAGUUUGAGAAAAUAUUGCAGUAGUCGCCUUCUUGUAAAGAAUGACUAUCCUCCAAUUUUGAAUAUUCUUAGAAGAAUCAUCAACAAGAAAACAACUCUGAACAUGAAUAGGACGUCAAUGUAUAAUGUUGGAUCAGGCUUGACUGGCACUGUCACUCUCAGGCCAUAUCAAUCUGGCAAGAAAAAUAAACUUAUCAUCAUAAUGAAAGAAAACACCAAUGAGGGAAAGCACACGUCAAACGUGUGGAGAUAAGAUACUCAAAAGACAAAGAUGAGUCAUCAACAAGAAAAACAACUUUGAACUUGGACUUUGAGUCAUCAACAAGAAGAUGAGCUGGUAUCAGUUAUCAGCCGCCGACUUCUCAAUUCCAGUUUGAAUUGAACAAGGAUUCUGUUUCUCACUUUUAUCUUCUUUCUUUUUUCUGGGGAAGACAACUUGGAAAGAAAGACUAUCCUCCAAUUUUGAAUUUUCUUAGAAAAAUCAUCAACAAGAAAACAACUUUGAAUAUCUCUUAAGACCCAAUGAGGUCUUCUCUCUGGUUUCAUUAGUGGGAAUAUCUAUUCAAGCACACAAUUUGCAUUGUGGUUGUUGUUUGCCGACUUCUCAAUUUGUACUGAUGUUUGCAGCCCUUUCAGGCAUCAUUGCUCUUAUAUAUAUGUAAAUACAUGUGAGCAACGGCACAUACACAAAGCAACAUGUUAGUGCAAGCUUAUAACCUAAUGGCUCAUGGCUUCCUUCUCUUCCUCUUAUUCUCUUGCAUUAUAUCUACAAAUAUCCAUGCCUGCAAACAAACUGAACGCAGCUCCCUCCUGUCCUUUGCCUCCACUCUAUCUUCUCCUCCUUUAAAUUGGACAUCCCUUGAUUGUUGUCGUUGGAAGGGCAUCACUUGUGAUCAAGAUGGUUGGGUCACCCGUUUGCUCUUACCUUCCAAAGGGCUCAAAGGAGGUAUCUCUCCCUUUUCACUUGCAAAUCUCACCCAUCUCACCCACUUGAACCUUUCGCACAAUUC